UAAAAACUUGGCUCAUGCCAAAAUCAUUCUCAUACUCAGUUAUCAGGGAUACCUUGGCCGAGGGCUAUCCCAACUGAGUCCGCCAAGGCUGAUAAAAAGUUAUGUACGCAUAAAUCAUGUUUUUAUUUUGAAAACAUAGCCGUUCGUUGGCGUUGGCUAAGUUCACCCUCACGUGGUGGUGUGGCGUGAAGUGAACUAUAAAGUGUUAACCUCAGGAGUUAUCCAUCCGUGCCUCUCAUAUUGAGGUAUGGAUAUAAUAAGGUUACCGUGCCCCCUUUAAUAGGCUGGUCCACGAAACUCGUCCACUACAGCGACUAAUCAAUAACCCACCAAUUCAAUAAAAUUUAACAGCAUGACAUGGUAAUUUUAUCAUUAUCCAGCCUAUCAAGGCAAACAACAGUUUAUACAUUUUCAACACAAAUACCAAUUCAGCCAUUCAUGCCAAUAUUGCCAUAAGCCAAUCAAUUAGAACCAUAAAUUCACAAUACAUCAAAUGGUCUCCAAUUACUCUAUUUUCAAAGCCAUCAUUCAAUUUCAAGACAAUUUAUAAAAUCAUUUCAUUUAAACACAUUUUGUUUANNNNNNNNNNNNNNNNNNNNNNNNNNNNNNNNNNNNNNNNNNNNNNNNNNNNNNNNNNNNNNNNNNNNNNNNNNNNNNNNNNNNNNNNNNNNNNNNNNNNNNNNNNNNNNNNNNNNNNNNNNNNNNNNNNNNNNNNNNNNNNNNNNNNNNNNNNNNNNNNNNNNNNNNNNNNNNNNNNNNNNNNNNNNNNNNNNNNNNNNNNNNNNNNNNNNNNNNNNNNNNNNNNNNNNNNNNNNNNNNNNNNNNNNNNNNNNNNNNNNNNNNNNNNNNNNNNNNNNNNNNNNNNNNNNNNNNNNNNNNNNNNNNNNNNNNNNNNNNNNNNNNNNNNNNNNNNNNNNNNNNNNNNNNNNNNNNNNNNNNNNNNNNNNNNNNNNNNNNNNNNNNNNNNNNNNNNNNNNNNNNNUAUAAUUUUUCAAGCUUGAUUCUCACACCAUAAAUCACUAAUUCCUAACCAAAUCACUUGAAAUAAAAUCAAAAUCAUCAUCAAUACUCUACAAGGAAGAUUCGGCCAAUGGAGGUUCUUGAGGGGUAUACGGUUUUUCAUGCUAAACAUUACCAUUUUCGGUUUCCACCACCACAAUUCAUUAAAUUCUAACUAAAUAACAUAAGACAUCACAAGAUUCAUCUUCAAUAUUGUCUUUAUGAAAUUCGGCCAAUGAAGAAUCCAUGAAGAACAUGUGAUUUUUCUUACUUGUUUUCCUUCCAAUCAUGAAAAAUCAACUAUAAACACUAAAAUAUCUCAAAAUCUAACCAAAUAAUUCAUCAAAUCUUCUCUCUCUAAAUUCGGUUAGCCAUGAAUCCUUCAUGAUAUCUUGUGAUUCAACCAUGGAAAAUGCAAAAUAAUAUUAGCAUGGGAAAGGUAGAUCACAAGUCAAAAUCAAGAAAUUUUACCUUUGAUUGCUUGAUUACUUGAAAUCCACCGAUUUUCUCUUGAAUUUUCACCUUAAGGUUCUUGUUCUUUCUUUUCUUCCUUUGUUCUUACUUUGGCCAGCCAUAUGAAGAGAAAUGGGCUGAUUUUGUGCUAAUUUAUAAGGAAAAUAAUAAAUGGAUGAGAAUUUGACACAUGUCACCAUUCCAUUGGUCCAUGUGUCAUACUUACCCAUUAAGCAAUCUCUCUCCACCACUUAAAUUUUCUCAAUUAUCCAUGAUAAUAUUGGGUAAAAUCCAUGUGCUGGACAAGUGUUGGGUGGUGUAAAAUUACAAUUUUGCCCAUGGGGUGGCAAAAUGACUAUUUUGCCCUUAUGCUCAAAAAAAUACCGGAAUUAAAAUUUUUCACUUCUCAAACUCAAAUUAUAUUCCAAAUAGUCAAUCUUGAUCAAAAACUUCUUCCAACAUUCCAAUUUUAACCUCGAGUAGCAAAAUGACCAUUUUGCCUCUAGGUCAUGAAAAUUCCAAUUUAACUCUAAAUCGAUCCUCGAACUUCGAAUCACCAUUUUAAGUCAUUAUGGGGUUUUAAAAUUCUCAAUUUCAUCUUAAAAUCUCUAUUUGGACUAGUUUGAGGCUUAAUUCAACUUAAUUGUACCAUUUGGGACAAUACCGUCUUUUAACGAUUUUUAAAGUACCCAAGUAAGCAAACAUGCAUUCUUAUGUAAGAAUGGCAUAAUAAACAUAUUGUAGAGUCAGGCUUGACAAAUUUAUUAUGAAUUGUAUUUCUCUAAAAAUACUAAAUUAUCAUUCUCAUCAUCAAGUAUAAAGGUGGGACCUUAUAUCCACUUGUCAUCCAUAAAUCCACACACAUUUCUCAUUUCCUAUUCAUAACAGAAUUGAAGUUUUUGAAGUAAAACAUUUGAAAGUGUCACAGCCUAAUUCUCGGGCUAUGACCGGCAUAAGGACCCAUUAUGCACAGCCCACUAGGCCCAAGUAAGCCUUUCUAUAUGAACUUGUACAUUAGUCCAUCUAUCAUGCAUAUCUCUUUAAGAUCUAUACUUAAUAGUGUUCAAAUGCCAAUUUCUUCGAAAAGAAUUCAUAGAACCCAAGUAAAUACUCACAUUGGCACCAUAAAUCAAAAUAUACAUAGAUAGUUUGUCAAAUGCAUCUUAACAAUUCACAUUAAGCAUAUAUGUGCAUGUAUAAAGACCUUGACAGCUAGCCGAGUGACUCUGGGCGUGGGUGCUAACAUUUAGUGUUAGGGCGACCUACCGAAAAAUAGAUAAGAGGAAGCACCUUGGCUUAGGAAUCCAACUACCUUUGAACCUGAAAACUAAAACAUGAAGUUGAAAAUAAUGAGUAUAAACUCAAUGAGUGAACAUGGGAAGGGAACAAGCAAACGAUAUGGAGAACUUUUUGAAAACAUGAUGCACUCGUUUAAAAACAAUGUCGUGCUGUUUUUCAACUCAUUUUAAAACAUUUAGGACGUUCAAGCAAGAUAAGUAUAGCAGAGCGAAUCUCGCUGUAGCGGAGAGGCAUUCUCGUCGCAGCGAAAUCCAAAGCAAGGGUUAAGGCCAUCCACCCGAGAGUUUCUCGCUGCAACGAAAUUUCUAAGCAGAUGAAAUUAGGGGAAUUUCACUGCUAUAAAAAUCCAAUCUUGUUGCAAUGAAAAUCAAAUUAAACACAUUUGACAAUAAUCAAGUUUCAAUAGUCAAUGCAAUCACAUAUUAAUUCUGAACCUCUCUAUACAGUAAAUAUAUAUAUAUAUACACACACAUAUGCCACCACCACCUCACCUAGCUCAUGUGCACUCCCACACUGCACAUAGCUGGAGUCAUUGAGUGCACCCCCACAUCACGCACAACUAAUGCCAUCGUGUGCACCCCCACAUCGCACACAGGCAAUAUCAUCAUUCACACUCCCGCACCUCGUCAUCAUUGGCAUGUGCACCCCCCACAUCACGCACAUGCGCGGUUAUAAUUAUCACACAAUAUUAACUAUCAAUACACAACAUAUAUAUAUCAACAUAAUAUAGGAGCACAAGGAUUCAUCCUAUUACACAUUCACAACAUACAACGUUUCAUCAAGGGCUUGUUCCCAUGCAAAUUUUAAAGAAAAACAAUAAAACUUUUCAAGUGGUUCAAUCAAGCAUAUAAUCAUUUGUUCCAAAACAUUUUGAUGCAAGUUCACUCACCUUGCGAUAACGGGAUGUUACAUCGCUAUUAGUUCGGAGGGGCAUCUAGCUAUUUCUACUUGCCGAUCGCUCGUUAUUUCCUCCGGCACGUUACCACAGACACUACCUUUACUUUUGGACUUCCUAGCAACAAUCCAAAUUCAAGAUCUUUAGUGUACCUCAUUUCUACUUCUCUCUUUCCUUCAAUCAUGAAUCCUUAUUCAACUAACUUAUAUCUUGACACAUUCUUUACCAAAGUGGCCUUUAUCCUUACUUGCGUCAUUCUUUAGAUUAUGGAUACCGACAACUUAUUUAUGACUCUAGCACAUAUAUAAAUAUUGUCUAAGGAUGUUUAUCAAGUUUAUCCAUCAUUUCCACAAUAAUUACCUAGGAUAUGGCAGCAACUAUAAAUUUACUUCCAUCAAACAUUUUCUAAGUCUACAUGUACCACCAUCCUCAUUUACAUGUUGCCACCAAGCAUAACAUUAAUAUUCAUUCAUGCACACCAACAUCCAUAACCUUUCAAACCUUUCCUAACAACACAUAUCUACACACCAAACUUUCAAUUAAUAUAAUUGCCUUCCAUCCAUACCCAUGACAUCACAAUAACACUACAUAUGCAUACAAUCAUUCUCACAAUAUUAAACUAAUCAUAAGCUUCAAAUUGUAGCAUUAAGCUUACCACUUGGUUUUAGCUUGAAUCACCCAACAAAAUUCAUAAUUUCCUCACACCCAUGGUCACCAUAGCUGCCACAAAAUGAUUCACACAUUAUUUUUUCAAGGAUUUAACCAACCAUAAACUUAAAACACAAAAAUCCUUACCUUAUGUUUCUUGAAUCUUGAGACCCACUUGAUAUUUCUUCAAUUUCUCUUGAACCAUUUACUACCCAAGCCUUCCACCUUUCUCUCCUUUCUUUUAUUAGCCGAUUCUUUUUAUUUUUCUCUUCAAUUGCAUGGGGUAAAGUGAAAAUGGGGUGAUAGUUUGGAAAUGGCGUGGGAGGAAGAAGAUGAAGAAGAAAAAAUGGUCAUCUUGAAGAGAUAAGGAUCAACCAAGGAUAAGGAUGAAGGGUCAAAGGAAGCUUUGACCAAGCUUGAUAGGAAAAUUAUCGUUUUACCCUCUUAGGUUCCCAUCAUUUCAAUUUAGUCCUCCCAACCCUCUUCUAAAUCCCAAUUUCCUUUUAUUAUCUUGUUUUACAUAUGUACAAAUGAAAUAUAAAAUUUGUACUCCAACGCAGUGUCCCCAUAAUAUUUAAAAUAUUUAUUUACCCGCACUAUCUUUAUUUAAUAAAGACACGCGGGCUCCAUUAACGCCAUUUUUCUCCGAAAUUUCCUCGUUCGUCUUCUCCCCCACCUAGAUUGACCAUAGAUUCCUCCUUUAUGGAAAAUUUUGACAUAGAAUAAAAUAUUAAUAUUUUAAUAUUAUUUUAUUCUAAAAUUUUCCACUUGUCUCCUUGGCACCCAAAACACCUUGUUAUACCUUGAUUCACUUUUUUUCUCACUAAUUCAUCAUCAAUAAAAAAUAUUAUUAUUUAAUUAUUAUUUCUUUACGUGCGGCAUAUUUUUCUCCAACCUAUUCGUUUCACCUUUCAUCACUUUUAAACAUUCUAAUUAACCUCAAUUGGCAUCUGAUAAGCUUUAUUAGCCACCAUAUCAAAGUACGGGGUAUUACAGUCUCCCCCAAUCUCCCCCGCUUAAAUAGAAUUCGUCCUCGAAUUCAUGGCGGUGUCGGGUUAUCAAUUCACUUUAUGAUCUUAUUUCAUUCCUCCCUUUAUAGGGAAUUUUGGUUUAUUCACCUCGUUCAUCUCCAGUUCGACUAGAAUACUUCACUUAUGUCUAUUAUCAUCUGUUAGAAUCAGAUCAGUAGUACCCUUUACAAUCAUUAUCUGUUAUAUUGAGACAUCGAGUAUGCCUUUAUCACUAUCAUUAAAUUUGAACCAUAACUCUAUCUCAAUCCUACCUAUUUUGAUCACACAGUAUACUUCUUAUAUAUGCCUAAUCCCCAUCUUAUUACUUCACUCCUUGUCGAACUUCUUGACAUUCAUUCAUUCAUCUUAUCCGCAUACAUUAUUAUAUAGCUUACAGCAUUAUAGACAUGCCAUGUUUAUUCCUGCAUGUAUUUCUCGACGUUGGAAGGGAGGUUAAUGCCUUCAAAUAUUCCCUCAUGCAUCAUGUUUAUCUUGCAUUUAUGCAACUUUAAUCUUCCUACUUGUAUUUGUCCAUCUUGUAUGGCUUAACCACGCUAUGGAUUACAUUUCCUUGAUAUCAUCCCCUUGACUAUUUCUCCAAAAUUUCUUAUAUCAACAUAGCUCAACUUCUGAUGGGAUCUCUUAUUAUUGUACCACAUAUGCAACUCAUCAAGCAUAUUGUGUUCAAAUUUCAAAUCACUAAAAAUAAUUUUUUAUUCCCAUCGAUGACAUGAGUAACUCCACAUACACAUAUAUACAUCCAUUAAAUGUCAACAUCCAUUACCAUGUAUAAGAAACCUUUUUUAGUUUCCUCAACUUUGACAUGUCUAAUUUAUCCUUCCAUUUCAUAUCCAUAGAUCAUAGUUAGUCCACAAACAUCCAAAUAUAAUCAAUUCCCAAAUUACCCUUUGGACAUUUAAGUUAUCAUUUAGCUUACAUUCUAUUAUACUUUAUCCCUCAUAUAGUCCACAUGAACUCACAUUAUGCCGAUCUAUAACUUUACGUACUUACAAACUUAAGCUUUUCUCUUAUCAUUUCUAACCAUACACAUAAGUUUCAUCAUCUUACGCAUACUUGUAUCACAAUGUCAUUAACCACAUUUCAAUCGUUAAAUAUCAUUUCAUCCAAUUAAAAUCUAGUAUCCGCAUAUGCUUUACGAUCUUAUUGAUCCUUCAAAGGUUUCCUUUAAUUCAUCCUUGCCUCUUAUGCAAUAUCACAAUUCCUAAGAGUCAUCUUCAUUUCUCAUUUACCUUCUAUACUUCCAUCAUAUAUAUCCUUAUUCAUCCUGAUAUUAGUUAGUCAUUUAAAAUUUAGAUUUAUGGGAGUCAUGUGCACAUCUUGCAUUUUUUUCUUGAAUUCCAAUUUCCACAUUAGGGAAUUCCCAUUAACCAGCUUCAUUAUCGGGAUUACCUUCAACAUCUUAUACUAUUCCUUUACACUAGUGUGCCAUUAUUUUUCUUUUUGCAUCUACACAGUCAAUGCUCGUAAUUGCAUAACUUGAAAUAGGGUUUUACUUAAGUACCUCUCAAUAUCACUGUCAAAAUCAAUUUUUUUUCAAACUCACAUCAUGUGACCACGUAACCCAUGGUUUAGCCAUUACGCUCAUUGACAAUUUCGAAUACCACAUUACCUCAUCAUGCAGGUAAAAUAUUUGAAAGUACUAUUAACCAUAUUUAAUCAACUUAAUAUUCCUCUUGAUUCUUUACAUCGUAGCUUAUCUCAAAGACUUUCCAUCUCCCCUUUCACUUACAUGCCACUAUAUAUAGGGCAAUAAAGUAACUUUUCAAUUCAUGUAUCAUUCUCCAAAUCAUUUAAAUCUCCGCAUAACAAUGCUCAAUAUCAAGGUCUCUAAUACCAACUUUGUCACUAAGGGCAGCUCCACCUCUUUGGGUAGCCCUUUCCUCCUUCGCUGGUGACAACAAAAGGGUACUUAUCAGAGCACUCAUAGGGCAGCUCCACCUCUUUGGGUAGCCCUUUCCUCUAUAAACCUCUAGGCAAAGAGUUAUGCUUCGCCACUGUGUACAUACAAGAGUUCCCAAGGAUCGGGUUACAACCCUUUGCUCAUACAUUCAAUACACGAGAUGUUCUUAGCGUCGUGCGCUUAAUAGUUAGUGUUGCGGUGGUGCAACUGCCGGAAACUUCUUCCACAAGGAAGUUCUCCUACCUUCAAAGUUACUACUUCAAUCCUUCUCAACCAUAUGGCUUUUCUUUAAGCUCUUACCACAAUUUCUAUAAGCAUGUGUAUCUUCUCUUUGCUUAUCAUUUGCACUAAGCCAAGUUAAUACUUUCAACUCAUAUUAUCUUUUAACACUUAUCAUCAAUCACUAAGUCCCACCUUAGGACAUCCUUUCCAUAUGGUGUAAUGAAUUCACAAUAUAUAUAUAUAUAUNNNNNNNNNNNNNNNNNNNNNNNNNNNNNNNNNNNNNNNNNNNNNNNNNNNNNNNNNNNNNNNNNNNNNNNNNNNNNNNNNNNNNNNNNNNNNNNNNNNNNNNNNNNNNNNNNNNNNNNNNNNNNNNNNNNNNNNNNNNNNNAUAUAUAUAUAUAUAUAUAUAUAUAUAUAUAUAUAUAUAUAUCACUACACACAUAACUAUUCAUUAUUUAUGGCAUUUCAUAAUUCAUACCAUUCAUAAUUAAUUAUCUUUCUAUUCUCGUAACUCAGAUAGUUCAUUGACUUCCACUGCAAAUGAUUAGGAAAAUAGUUUAUCUUUUCUUUUUUUUUUCCCACACUUUAUACUCAUAAUUCUUAUUAAAUAAAAAAUUCACCUUUUCCAAGUUCCAUAAUUUGCCUCAAUUGGUCUAUAUUUGUACCAAAUUAUCAUCUUAUAAUGUCAUGGCAUCAUUUUGUAGUUCCCUCCAUACUUAAAUUUUACAAUCCUUGACUUGAUCACGUUAACCAUGCAAAGUGCCACCUAUAGCCUCAUUGAUUUCUCUCAUAUCCUUUCGAAUUGUAAUUGUAAUUGAGAUUUCAAUUUUCAUAUUUUCGCGAUGGAUUACUUACCUUACCAUGCUUUCUCACGAUAUUCUAUGCAGUUACAACACAUUGAACCUGCUUAUUAUAACAUAAUCCCUAGUUCAAUGUGUUUACUCAAAAAUCGACUUCUUUUAUUCAACUUGCCCACAUAAGCUAGGACUUUAUUUAUUUAUCUUUGCAUUCGAAAUCAUGCCAAAAACCCACAUACCAUGGUAAAUGAUAAUUUCUAAUAAACGCUAUCAAUUUAAAUGGCAUUUUAUGCCUUGUCAAAAAUUUAAGGUUAACACUCAAAAGUCCAUCACGUUUAUUGGUAACCAUUUCAUAGUACUGCAAAGCAUUUUUAUCGUCAGGUCUUAUAGUUGCUUGAAUCAUUAAUGACUUUCUACGUCAACCUUCAAUAAUUGCCUAAGGUGACUAAUCACGCCACUAGGGUGUAUAUCCUUCCUCAAUAAUUAUAUUGUUAGUUCUCCUCUGUCAUACCAAAAGAUUCCUAUAUGCACCAAAUCAUUUAAGUAGUUGCUUCAUAAUCCAUUCAAGUCACACGAAAAUAAAAACCAAACUCUUAAGUCCUUUGUACAGACGACUACUCCUACUUAAUUUACACCGCAUUUUCCCAUACUUAAAGUAAUACGGAGUUCAACAAAAGUAUUAAGUGUCCUUAGGAUCAUUGUUACCUUGAUCCGAGCACAUCGAUGGAUCCUCUUUCAGGUCCUCUUCUACCUCUUGAGAUUUUCCCAUUUUACCUUUAAUCCAAGCUUGCUGUAUUCUUAUGUAUUCCUCCCUACUCACAGGCGAAACACCUAUACCACAACCAGGAGGAAAGUGUUGGAUAGUUGACACUUUCCUAGGACGAAUAUCUCCCUUUGCAAUUGCCUCUUUUGUCUUUUUCUUAUGCCAUUCCUCAGACAUUUUCAAAAGGAAAUUUCUUACAACUUCCUGAAUGUCAGAGCUAUCUUUACUUUCAAAGCCCUCGUUACUCUCAAAGCUUUCCUUAUUACGAAACUAUUCUUCCAAUUUCGGUGAAAUUUAUGUAAUAGAAAUCCAGGACGGGCCACUUUUUGGACUACCUAUAUCAGGGCGCCAUUGGCUCCUAACAGUGGAGUCUAGCGAUCCUUCGCUAGUACUGUGAGGGGCAUCCGGACUACUGUCACUUUUAGACAUAGAGUGUGUAACAGGCGCACCUCUAAACCUAUACAUAACCAAGCAUCAAUUGCUUAGCCAUAUAUAUAUAUAUAUAUCAUAGGAAUAGGUAGGUUUUCUAAAGAAUUAGGGGCCUAUGUAGCCUCCCGUCCUUAGCCUAGAUUGCACACCCACAAUCCAAGGAUGAGACUCUACACAGACUCCCAUAACUCCGCUGACAGACACAAGAUUCCCCAGAACUCAACUAAACCUAGAGCUCUGAUACCACCUUUGUCAUAACCCUAUCCGGGCCAUGACUGGUGCAAGGACCCAAUAGGUAUAGCCCACUAGGCCCAAGAAAGCCUUCCUAUACGAGUUUGUAUGUUAGUCCAUUUAUCAUUCAUAUUUCUUUAAGAUCUAUACUUAAUAGUGUUUGAAUGCUAAUUUGUUCAAAGAUAAUUCGUAAAACCCAAGUAAAUACUCGCACUGAUAUCAUAAAUUAAAAUAUACAUAAAUAGUUUGUCAAAUGUAUCUUAACAAUUCACAUUAAACAUAUAUGUGCAUAUACACAGACCUUGAUCGUCAGCGGAGUGACUCUGGGCGUGGGUGCUAACAUUUAGUGUUAGGGUGACCUACCAAAAAAUAGAUAAAAGGAAGUACCUCGGCCUAGGAAUCCAACUACCUUCGAACCUGAAAACUAAAACAUGAAGUUGAAAAUAAUGAGUAUAAACUCAGUGAGUGAACAUAGGAAGGGAACAAGUAAAUGAUAAGGAAAGAUUUUGAAAACACGAUGCACUUAUUUUAAAAACAAUGCAAUUUAUUUUAAUUUCUUGUAAAGCCCCUUAAUUCAACUAUGAAACCUUGACCUCCAUAGACACGUAACUAGAAGCAAAUGCGAUAACACAGACUAGGGGUAAUUUUGUCAUUUUUCUUGGUGAGCUCUUAGAAGUGGGUUUUCUGAUAUUAUUAAUGCCUAAGUAGGCCUAAGGGAUAAAUAAGUGAUGCAUACAAUAAUGAAAUAAGUGAAGAAAAUAGAAAUAACGAUAAUUUCCAUAGUAAGGGCAAAAUGGUCAUUUUUAUCUUGAGUCAAAAUUUUUAAGUUUUCAUGAACCCGAGUAUUUCUAGACUAUUAUGGACUUUGUCUUAGUGUCAAAAUAGUAAAAAGAUUGCACAAAGGAUAGGAGGAAGAUAAAGCCACCUUGUUAAGGGCAUUUUUGUAAAUUAAGUAAAACUUGGAUAAACUUUAGAUAUAAAUAUCUAAUUUCCAUCAACUUCUUCUAACUUUCAGCAACUUCUUCUUCUUCAUUCCAUCUCUUCUCCCCUUCUCAGUUUUCUCAUCUUUCAUGAAAGCUUGCUUUGAAACCUCCAUAAAGUUUCUCAUGGUAACCCCAAAACUUAUGUUUUUAUAUACCUUGUCAUUGGAUUUUUCAUGCUCUUUCACUUCUACACUUCAAGAACCCUCAAAAGUCUUUCCUCAAUACUUUCUCUCACUAGUUGGACAUUUUAGGGAGAGAGAGAGAGAGAGAGAGAGAGAGAGAGAGAGAGAGAGAGAGAAGAAGUANNNNNNNNNNNNNNNNNNNNNNNNNNNNNNNNNNNNNNNNNNNNNNNNNNNNNNNNNNNNNNNNNNNNNNNGAGAGAGAGAGAGAGAGAGAGAGAGAGAAAGAUUGUCCAUAAUAGCUUGAGAACUCUUGAGAAAGAAUUCAACUACAAAUCUACCAAGGUGAGUAAUGAAUUAGGAUUGAUUUUAGGUUAUUGAUAAUGGCAAGUAAUUGGAGUUGUGAGUUUUUUUAUUUUUUUUAGGUUUGUUUAUUUAUUUCUAGUGGUACUAGAGUAGGGAGAAUAGAUAGCCAGCCAAAUGGUAAUUGGAAGUUAGUUAGGAAUAACCAGUAAAUUUUGAAUUAGAAAAUAGCUUUUGGAGUAACAUUUAUGUAAAUUGAGUUGGUUGUGAUAUUAUUGUUGUGAUAGGUUCCAACGAGGCCCCACAUCUUCACUCGGAGCAUUAGUCGAAGUUGGAGUCUAUCCAAAAGCAGUAACAAAAACAAGUGAGUGAACUUGCAUUAAAAUGUUCUGGGUACAUGUAUAUAUUUUUGAAUGAUCACUUGAAAUAUUUUAGUUGAUUUUUCUUCAAAAUGCACAUGGGAACAAGCUCUUGAUGAAAUGUUUUUUUUAUGUUGUGUUGUGAAAUGUGACUGUGAUGAAUCCAUGUACUCAUUUAUUAUGUUGAUAAAAACUUAUAUGUGUUGUGCGUUGAGAGGUGAUAUUGUGUAAUAAAUAUAGCCGUGCAUGUGCGCGACGUGGGGGAGCACAUGCCAGUGAUGACGAGUGCAGGAGUGUGGAUGAUGAUAAUGCCUGUGCGGGAUGUGGGGGAUGCACAUGAUGACUCCGGCUAUGUGUAGUGUGGGAGUGCACAUGAGCUGGGUGAGGCGGUGAUGGUGUAUAUGCUUAUAUAUAUAUUUACUAAAUAGAGAGGUUUGGAAUCAAUAUGUGAUUGCAUUUACUGUUGAAACUCUAUUAUUGUCAAAUGUGUUUAAGUUGAUUUUCGUUGCAACAGGAUUGGAUUUAUAUAGCAGUGAAAAUUUCCCCUAACAUCAGCUAGCUAGAUUCUCACUACAACAAAAAUCAAUCUCGCUGCAGUGAGAAAGUCUUAGGUUGGGGGAGGGUGUGCACUGGCUCUGUUUUCGCUGUAGCGAGAAACUCUCAGGUGGUUCAAAAUUUUGGUUCGAAUUUUGCUACAGCGAGAAUGCCUUUCUGCUGUAGCGAGAAACCCUCUGUUUUGCUUGUCUUGCGUGGACAUUUGCUAAAAUUUUCAUUAUUUUCAACUUCAUGGUUUAUCAUGGAUUUUAAAUGUUAAGGAAUUAAAUAAUCAAAGGAUGAAUUAAGAGGCUUUACAAGAAAGUAAACUAAAUUGCAUUGUUUGUAACUAAAGUGCAUCAUGUUUUCAAAAUUUCUUCGUAUCAUUGCUUGUUCCCUUUCUUAUGUUCACUCACUCUUUUAAACUUCAUGUUUGCAUAUUCGGAGUCAAUUGGGACCUAGAAUAAGGCGUCUGCUUGUAUUCACCCUUUGAUAGGUAUCUUGGCAUUUAGUAGCCGUACCCUCGUCCAAGUCACUCCAUUGGUCGUCGAGAGUCUGUUGCAUGUGCACAUAUACACUUGAUGUAAAUCUCUAAAAUUUAUGCUAUAAACAAUAAUUGUAUAAUUUGAAUUUGAUGAUGCCAUUAUGAGAUGGCAAAUGUACAACCAUAUUUUAGAUUAUACAAAUGUAAAUUCUUGGUUGUCAUAGUAUGUUAUUACAGUACUUAUAGUGGAAAAUUACAAAUCAUGGCUUUAGGAAUGUUUAAAGAAAGUAUGAACUUGAUUACAUAGAAAGGCUUGCUUGGGCUUAGUGGGCUGUGCCCAUUGGGCCCAUGCGUCGGUCAUGGACUAGAAAUUAGACUAUGACAUCAACCCUUGAUUAUUUAUGUCAAGCCCAGCUCUACAAUAUAUUUAUUAUGCCAUUCCUACAUAAGAAUGCAUGUUUGUUUACUUGGGUACCUCGAAAAUCGUUAAAGGACGGUAAUGUACCAAAUGGUACAAUUAAGUUGAAUUAAGCCUCCAAUUAGUCCAAAUAGAGAUUUUAAGAUGAAAUUGAGAAUUUUAAAACCCUAGAAUGACUUAAAAUGGUGAUUCAGAGUUCGAGGACCGAUUUGGAGUCAAAUUGGUAUUUUCAUGACUUAAGGGUAAAAUGGUCAUUUUGCUACCCGAGGUUAAGAUGUGAGUGUUGGAUGAAAUUUUUUAUUAAGAUUGAUCAUUUGGAGUAUAAUUUGAGCUUGAGAAGUGAAGAAUUUUAAUUUUGGCAUUUUUUUGAGGAUAAGGGCAAAAUAGUCAUUUUGCCACCUCAAGGGCAAAAUUGUAAUUUUACACCACCCAACACUUGUCCAACACAUGAAUUUCACCCAUUAUUGUCAUGGAUAAUUGAAGGAUUUUAUGUGGUGGAGAAUGAAAGCUUAAUAGUUAAGAAUUUAAAAAUGGACCAAUGGUAAGGUGACAAGUGUCAAGCUUUUAUUUCUUUAUUAUUUUCCUUAUAAAUUAGCACAAAACCAGCCCAUUUCUCUUCAUUAUGGUCAGCCUCACCAAGGAGAAGUAAGAAAAAGGAAGAACAAAACCCUAGGUGGAAAAAUUCAAGGGAAAAGUGUGAAAAUUCAAGGAAAUAAGUGAAAAAGGUAAGAUUUUUUCAAUUAAGCUUGAGAUCUCUCUUUCUUAAGCAUUUUUUCUUAUUUUCUAUGGUUGAAUCACAUGAAAUCAUGAUGAAUCCUUUGCUGGCCGAACACUUAGAGGGAGGUUUUGAUGCUUGAUUUGGUUAGAUUUUGAGAUAUUUUAGUGUUUUUAGUUAGUUAGUGAUGUGUAGCAUGAAAAGCCAACAAGAAAAAUUCACUUCCUCCCAUCACCCAUCAUUGGCCGAAUUCUCCAUGUGGAAUAUUGAUGAUGAUUUUGAUUUUAUUUCAAGUGAUUUGGUUAGGAAUUAGUGAUUUAUGGUGUGAGAAUUAAGCUUGAAAAAUUAUAUUGUUAGUGAACCCUCCAUGGUCCAAUUUUCCAAGAGAAAUGUGUGGAUGAUUUUCCCAUAUUUCAAGUUAUUUAAUUUGUGUUUGAUGAUUUGGAGUAUUGGGAGAAAACUGGAAUUAUGUGGAGUUGAAUUGGACAUAUUGGCCAAUUAAUCGGGUGAUAGAUUGAAUUAGGCCAAUACCAUUUUAUUUAGGUACAUAAUUGAAUUUAUAUUGAACACCGUAUUUAGAUAGUUACCCGAGUAUUUCACAUCCCAUUCCAUGCAUUAGUAUAAAGCCUGAAUUAGUUUUACAACGGUUUAGCACAAAUGUAGUAAAUGGCCUAUUGUGCAUUAUGUCUAGGUGGUGAGCUUUCUGGAAAAAGUAAAGAGAUAGUACCCGAGGAUCAAGAAUCGGAGUUGUCACGACCCGAAACUCCCAUUGAGCCCGUGACAACCGUCGCGACGUCCCGAUAGACAUUUAUUACCCGAAAUGUCAAUCGAAACCUCGCAAGGCUUAACAUCAGUUUUUCUCACUUCCCCUGUGAGUAUUAGUCACUAGAAUUAUGUUUUGAGAGAUUAUAAACUAUUUUCAAAUCAAAACAAUAGAAAAACAAUUUUUUUUCUCACAGGGGCAUUUUGGUCAGUUUUCCUCAAAAAUCUCGAAAUCUGCUAAAAAUGUAGUAUGCGAGUACAAAACACAUAAUUCAUAAUCAAAAAUAAGUUUAAACAUCUAAAACCUUCAUUUAAAAUGAAAUUAUGAUUAUUAGAAUAAAAUAAAAAUAUUGACUAAAAUAUUCAAUUUUCUCAUAAAUUAAUAUUUUUAGAACACUGCAUAAAUAGUUUUUACAGCAUAAAAGCAAAAUAAAUUCAUAUAUAUUGUAAUACAGUAAGCCAGAGUAUUUAAUUUAAUUUACAGUAACAAGUGAGCCCACGAAUGACCAAAAGUAUUAAAAGCAGUAAACCUACAAUUUUUGAGGAUGCAAGUCCAACUGUAGCCCUCAACAAAGUGAGCUAUCUACCGACUAUCUUAAGCCUGAAAGGGGUGGAAAGGAGGGUGGUGAGAUUAUAUAAUCCCAGUGAGUAAACAAAUACCAUCUAAAAUAUCUAAAGCCGGGUAAAUAGAGACAGAUAAAAUAGUUUAAUAUACUGAAAUUCAUCACCUUUCAACUUGUUUCAACCAAAUAAAAUCAAUUCAUAUAAAUCGAGUAAUCAACAUGGUUUAUGAAUUUCUUAAAACUUUGGCUCGUGCCAAAAUCAUUUUUAUACCCAGUUAUCAGGGAUGCCUUGAUCGAGGGCUAUCCCAACCGAGUCCGCCAAGGCUAGUAAAAAGUUAUGUACGAAUAAAUCAUGUUUUUAUUUUGAAAACAUAGCCGUUCCUUGGCGUUGGCCGAGUUCCCCUCACAUGGUGGUUUGGCAUGAAGUGAACUCUAAAGUUUGACCUCGGGAGUUACCCUACGCGCCUCUCCAAUCGAGGUACAUAUAUAUGACCAAGUUCCCUGCCCCUCUAAUAGGUUGGUCCAUAGAACCAGCCCACUGCAGCAAUCUAAACCCACCAUACAAUAAAAAUUCAACAGCAUGACAUGGCUAUUUUUAUCAUUAUCCAGCCUAUCAAGGCAAACAACAGUUUAUACAUUUCAACACAUAUACUAAUUCAACCAUUCAUGCCAAUAUUGUCAUAAGCCAUUCAAUUCAAACCGUGAUUUAUAACACACCAAUUAGUCUCCAAUUACUCCAUUUUCAAAAUCAUCUUUCAAUUUCAAGAUAAUUUUAUAAAAUCAUUUCAUUAAAUCACAUUUGGUUUAUAAAAUCAAAAAAUUAAUCAUUUAAUUCAAUUUCCAUAAAAUUCACAAAAUCGAAUAAAACAUAUUUUAGAUGAUUAAGACGAUAGUAAGGUUACUCACUAUAUCGGGAGUCGAAUUUCAAGUACUCAGAUUUUUGAUUCCUCGGGUACUAUCUCUUUACUUUUUCCAGAAUACUCACCACCUAGAUAUAAUGCACAAUAAGCCAUUUACUACAUUGUGCUAACUUGUUAUAAAACCAAUUCAGGCUUUAUACUAAUGUAUGAAAUGGGAUGUGAAAUGCUCGGGUAACUAUCUAAAUACGGUGUUCAAUAUAAAUUCAGUUAUGUACCUAAAUAAAACGGUAUUGGCCUAAUUCGAUCUAUCUCUCGAUUAAUUCGCCAAUAUGUCCAAUUUAACUCCAAAUAAUUCCUUUUUUCUCCCAAUACUCCAAAUCAUCAAACACAAGUCAAAUAGCAUAAAAUCUAGCAAAAUCAUCUUCACAUUUUCUCUUGGAAAAUUCAGCCAUGGUGGGUGCAUCAAUACUAUGAUUUUUCCAACUUGAUUCUCACACCUUAAAUCAUCAUUUCCUAACCAAUUCACUUGAAAUAAAAUCAAAAUCAUCAUCCACACUCUACAUGGAAAAUUCGGCCAAUGAUGGGUGAUGGGAGAAAAUGAAUUUUUCUUGCUUGAUUUUCAUGCUACACAUUACUAACUAACUAAAAACACUAAAAUAUCUUAAAAUCUAACCAAAUCAAUCAUCAAAUCUUCUCUCUCUAAAUUCGGUCAGCCAUGCAUCCUUCAUGAUAUAUUGUGAUACAACCAUGGAAAAUGUAAAAUAAUGCAUGGGAAAUGUCAAACCCGGUACUCUCCUCGAGCCCGUGACAACCGCCGCGAUGUCCCAAUAGACAUUCAUCGCUCGAAAUGCAGAUCGGAACCUCGCAAGGCUUUAAUAUUAGUUUUCUCACCUCCACUGUGAUCAAUAGUUGUAAUAUAACAUGUUUUGAGAGGUUAUAAACUAUUUCCAAAUCAAAACAAUAGAAAAAUAAUUCUUUUGUCUCACAGGGGCAUUUUGGUCAUUUUUCCUCACAAAUCUCGAAACCAGUUAAAAAUGUGGUAUACGAGUGGAAAACACAUAUUUCAUAAUCAAAAAUAAAUUUAGAUGUCUAAAACAUUCAUUUAAAAUGAAACUAUAUCGAUUUGAAUAUAAUAAAAAUAUUCAAUAAAAUAUUCUAUUUUCUUAUAAAACAAUAUUUAUAGAGUUAUCGGUAAAUAAUUUUUGUAGCGUAAAAGCUAAAUAAGUUCAUACAUACUGUAAUACAGAUAACCAAAGUAUAAAAUUUAAUUUACAGUGACACGUGGGCUCACAAAUGACUAAAAGUAUCAAAAGAAAUGAACCUACAGUUUUUGGAUGUGGCAAGUCCAACUGUAGUCCUCAACGAUAUCAGUUAUCUACAAUCUAUUCUGAGCCUGAAAUGGGUGGAAAGGAGGGUGGUGAGAUUAUAUAAUCUUAGUGACUAAACAAAUACCAUCUAAAAUAUCUAAAGCUGAGUAAAUGGAGACAGAUAAAAUAGUUUAACAUACUGUAAUUCAUCACCUUUCAACAAGUUUUAACCAAAUAAAAUCAAUUCAUAUAAAUCGAGUAAUUAACAUGGCUUAUGAAUUUCUUAAAAGAUUUGGCUCGUGCCAAAAUCAUUCUCAUACUCAAUUAUCAGGGAUACCUUGGCCGCGGGCUAUCCCAAACCGAGUCCUCCAAGGCUAUUAAAAAGUUAUGUACUCAUAAAUCAUGUUUUUAUUUUGAAAAUAUAGCCGUUCCUUGGAGUUAGCUGAGUUCGCCCUCACGUGGUGGUUUGGUGUGAAGUGAACUCUAAAAGUUAUACCUCGAGAGUUACCCUACUCGCCUCUCUAACCGAGGUAAAAUAUAUCAGGAUUUCGUGCCCCUCUAAUAGGCUAGUCCACAGAACCCUGCCCAUUGCAGCAAGCUUAACCCACCAUACAAUAAAAUUUGAUAUAGCAUGACAUGGCAAUUAUUUUAUUUUACAGCCUCUCAAGGCAAAUCAACAGUUCAUACAUUUGCAACACAUUUAUCAAGUCAACCAUUCAUGCCAAUAUUGCCAUAAGCCAAUCAAUUAGAACCAUAAAUUUACAACACAUCAAGUGGUCUCCAAUUACUCUAUUUUCAAAGCCAUCAUUUAAUUUCAAGACAAUUUAUAAAAUCAUUUCAUUUAAACACAUUUUAUUUAUAAAACAUAAAGAUUUACUAUUUAAACUCAUUUUCUAAAAAUCACAAAAUCAGAUAAAAAUCACUCUAGAUAAUUAAGACGAUAGUAAGGUUACUCACUGUUUUGGGAGUCGAAUUUCGAGUUCUUCGAUUCUCGAUCCUCGAGUACUAUCUCUUUACUUUUGCUAGAAUGCUCACCACCUAGACGUAAUGCACAAUAAGCCAUUUACUACAUUUGUGCUAAAUUGUUAUAAAACCAAUUCAGGCUCUAUACUAAUGCAUGAAAUGGGAUGUGAAAUACUCGGGUAACUAUCUAAAUACGGUGUUCAAUAUAAAUUCACUUGUGUACCUAAAUAAAUCGGUAUUGGCCUAAUUCGAUCUAUCACCCGAUUAAUUGGCCAAUACGUCCAAUUUAACUCUAAUUAACUCCAUUUUUCUUCCAAUUCUUAAUUCACCAAACACAAGUCAAAUAGCCUAAAAUUUGGCAAAUCCAUCUUCACGUUUCUUCAUAGAAUUUUCGGUCAAUAAUGGUGCAUCAACACCGUGAUUUUUCCUACUACUUUUCCACACCAUAAUUCAUCAUUUUCUAACCAAUUCUCUUAAAAUAAAAAUCAAAUUCAUCCUCACUCAAUACAAGGUAGGUUCAGCCAUUGAUGGGUGAUGGGGAAAAUGAAUUCUUUUCUUGUUGUUUUGCUUCUAGACAUGGUAAACUAACUAAAAACACUAACAUAACUUGAAAUCAAAUCAAUCCAACAUUAUUCUCUCUCCAUAUCCAUUUGGCUAGCCAUGAAUUCACCAUGAAAACAUGUAAUUUAACCAUGGAAAAUAAGGAGAAAUGAUUAAGGAAAAUAGAUUUCAAGUUUAAAUUGAGAAAUCCUACCUUUUUCACUUGUUUUCCUUGAUUUUCCACACUUUUUCUCUUGAAAUUCUCCACCUAAGGUUUGUUCUUUCUUUUCAUUCCUUUGUUCUUCCUUUGGCCGGCCAUAUGAAUGAGAAAUGGGCUGAUUUUGUACUAAUUUAUAAGGAAAAUAAUGAAUGGAUGAGAUUUUGACACAUAUCACCAUUCCACUAGUCCAUGUGUCAUACUUAGCCAUUAAGCAAUCUCUCUCCACCACUUAAAUUUUUUCAAUUAUCCAUGAUAAUAUUGGGUAAAAUCCAUGUGCUGGACAAGUGUUGGGUGGUGUAAAAUUACGAUUUUACCCUUGGGCUGCAAAAUGACUAUUUUGCCCCUAUGCUAGGAAAAAUGCCGGCAUUAAAAUUUUUUACUUCUCAAACUCAAAUUAUGUCUAAAUAGUCAAUCUUAGUCAAAAAAUUUCAUCCAACACUCACAUCUUAAUCUCGGGUGGCAAAAUGACCAUUUCGCCCCUAGGUCAUGAAAAUUCUAAUUUGACUCCAAAUCUGUCCUCGAACUCCGAAUCACCAUUUUAAGUCAUUCUGGGGUUUUAAAAUUCUCAAUUUCAUCUUAAAAUCUCUAUUUGGACUAGUUCGAGGCUUAAUUCAACUUAAUUGUACCAUUUGGUACAUUACCGUCCUUUAUCGAUUUUCAAGGUACCCAAGUAAGCAAACAUGCAUUCUUCUGUAUGAAGGGCAUAAUAAACAUAUUGUAGAGCUGGGCUUGACAGGAAAGGUAGAUCACAAGUCAAAAUCAAGAAAUUUUACCUUUGAUUGCUUAAUUACUUGAAUUUUCACAUUUUUCCCUUGAAUUUUUCCACCUAGGGUUUGUGUUCUUCUUUUCUUCCUUUGUUCUUGCUAUGGCCAGUCAUAAUGAAGAGAAAUGGGCUGAUUUUGUACUAAUUUAUAAGGAAAAUAAUGAAUGGAUGAGAUUUUGACACAUGUCACCAUUCCAUUGGUCCAUGUGUCAUACUUAGCCAUUAAGCAAUCUCUCUCCACCACUUAAAUUUCCUCAAUUAUCCAUGAUAAUAUUGGGUAAAAUUCAUGUGCUGGACGAGUGUUGGGUGGUGUAAAAUUAUAAUUUUACCCCUAGGGUGGCAAAAUGACUAUUUUACCCCUAUGCUUGAAAAACACCAAAAUUAAAAUUCUUCACUUCUCAAACUCAAAUUAUACUCCAAUAAGUCAAAUGUGAUCAAAAUCUUUCAAAAAAAUUCUAAUUUCUCCUCGAGUGGCAAAAUUACCAUUUUACCCCUAGAUAGUGAAAUUUUUGAUUUGACUCCAAAUCGGUCUUUGAACUCCGAAACACCAUUUUAAGUCAUUCUAAAGUUUUAAAAUUCUCAAUUUAAUUUUAAAAUCUCUAUUCAGACUAGUUCGAGGCUUAAUUCAACUUAAUUGUACCAGUUGGUACAAUACCGUCCUUUAACGAUUUUCAAGGUACCCAAGUAAGCAAAUAUGCAUUCUUAUGUAAGAAUGACAUAAUAAACAUAUUGUAGAGUCGGGCUUGACAGGAGUACUCAGAAUUUGACUCCCAAAAUAGUGAGUAACCUUAUCAUCAUCUUGAUUAUCUAAAGUGAAUUUUAAUUCGUUUUUGUGAUUUUAUGGAAAAUGUGAUUAAAUGAAAUGAUUUUAUAAAAUUGUCUUGAAAUUGAAUGAUGAUUUUGAAAAUAGAGUAAUUGGAGACUACUUGCUGUAUUGUAAAUUAUGUUUUGAAUUGAAUGGCUUAUGAUAAUGUGGGCAUGAAUGGCUGGAUGAGUAUUUGUGUUGAAAAUGUAUAAACUAUUGUUUGCCUUGAUAGGCUAUAUAAUGAUAAAAUUACCAUGUCAUGCUGUUGAAUUUUUAUUGUAUGGUUGGUUUAGCUUGCUACAGUGGACAGGUUUUGUGGACCAGCCUUUUUGAGGGGCAUAGAAUCUCGUUAUAUUCUUAACUCGAUUGGAGAGGCAUGUAGGGUAACUCCCGAGGUACAACUUUAGAGUUCACUUCACGUCAAACCACCACGUGAGGGUGAACUCAGCAAAUGGCAAGGAACGACUAUGUUUUCAAAAUCAAAAACAUGAUUUAUGCAUACAUGACUUUUUAACAACCUUGGCGAACUCGAUUGGGAUAGCCCUAGGCCAAGGUAUCCUUGAUAAUUGAGUAUGAGAAUGAUUUUGUCACGAGCCAAGCUUUUCAGGAAAUCAUAAGCCUUGUUGUUUAUUUUGGGUGAAAUGAAUCUAUUUUAUCUUAUUAAAAUGAGUUCGAAAUGCUGUGAAUCAUUUUUAUGCUAAUCUAUUUUAUCUGUCUCCAUUUACUCAGCUUUAGAUAUUUUAGAUGGUAUCUGUUUACUCACUGGGAUUAUAUAAUCUCACCACCCUCAUUUUCACCCAUUUCAGGCUCAGGAUAGUUUGUAGAUAGCUGAUAUAGUCGAAGGCUACAGUUGGCUUUACUUCCUCAAAAACUGUAGGUUCAAAACCUUCAUCACUUUUAGUCGUUUGGGGGCUCAUGUGUCAUUGUAAAUUUAAUUACAUACCUUGACUAUCUGUGUUACUGUAUGUAUGAAUUUAUUUUGCUUUUACGCUACAAAAAUUAUUUACGGAUAUCUCUAUAAAAAUUGUUUUAUAAGAAAAUGGAAUAUUUUACUCAAUAUUUUUAUUUUAUUCUAAUUGCUAUCAUUUCACUUUUAAUGAAUGUUUUAGACAUCUAAACUUAUUUUUGAUUAUGAAAUAUGUGUUUUGCACUCGCAUACUACAUUAUUAGCUAGUUUUGAAAUUUUCAAGAAAAAAUGACCAAAAUACCCCCGAGAGACGAAAAUUAUUUUUUUAUUGUUUUGGUUUGGAAAUAGCUUAUAAUCUUUUAAAAUAUGAUAUUAGCAACUGUUGCUCUCAAGGGAGGUGAGAAAACUGAUAUUAAAGCCUUACAAGGUUUCGGUUGGCAUUCAGGGUAAUGAAUGUCUAUUGGGACAUCACGGCGGUUGUCACGGGAUCGAGGAGAGUAUCAGGUUGUGACAAUUAAAUCCCUUAAAGUGAAGGAUUUAUAAUCCACAAUGGAGUUGAAAAGAGUGAAAACUACAGCAAAUGUCCAAGCAAAACAGAGGGUAUCUCGCUGCAGUGGAAAGGGAUUCUAUAGCAUAUAGUACAAUCACAUUUUUAUUUUCAUAACCUGUCUAUAGCAUAUAUAUAUAUAUACAUGUACACCACCGCCGCCUUACUCAGCUUAUGUGCACUCCCUACACACACAAGGCAAUAUCAUUAUGUUCACUCCCUACACGCACAUUUCAAUAUCAUCAUGUGCACUCCCUACACGCACAUUUCAAUAUCUUCACGCGCACUCUAGCCCACAUCAUUACCGGCAUGUGCACUCCCACAUCGCACACCACCGGCACCGUCAUGUGCACUCCCACACCGCAUGUAAUACCCUGCAUCCUCGUUGGACACAAAUAAGACCUUAUUAAUCAAACGAAUGAUCGUUUGAUGCGAAUUGGCGUGCUAAAGAGCGAUAAAGGAUGAAAGGAACGUUCAAGAAUAAAAUGCUUCGCGCGUGCAAAAUUAACAAUUAAAUAAUAAUAUUUUCGUUGGGGAAGAAUUAGUAAGCUAAAGGAUGAUUUGGAAGUAAACCGAGAUGUAAUGAUGCGUUUCGAGACCAAAGAAGGCAAGUGAAAAAUUUUGAAAUAAAAUAAUAUUAAAAUAUUAAUAUUUAUAUGUUGCCGAAAUUAGUCAUGAAAAAUGAAAUAUGACUAAUUCAAGUGGGGGAGAAGAAGUAAAGAAGAAUUUUGAAGGAAAACGACGAUAAUUGUGACAACAUGAUUUUAUUCAAUCGAGCUAACGCGGGUAAGUAAAUAUUUAAAUAUUAUGGUGACACCGCGUUGAAAUGCGAUCUCGAUAUUUUGAUUAUACACAUGUAAGAAAAGGAAGAUAGAAGGAAAUUAGAAUUUUUAAACGUAGCGGCAUGAUCAAAUUUUAAGAUACGAAAAUUGAAAGAUUGAGUACCAAAUAAAAUGAAGUUAAGGCAUAAUAUGUAAAUUUUAUUGUUUUGAAGAAAUAAAAAUACAAUGAAAAUAAAAUGGAUGAUAAAAUAAUGAAGAAAAGAUGUUGAAAAGUCAGACAAUAUUUUUAUAUGUACAUGAGUGACCACAUGAGUCAAGAAUGGAAAUGAUGUGGUUUGGAUGGGAAUGAAGAAAAGUCAAAGUUAUUUGGAAUAAUAUUAAAUUGGAACCAAGUGAGGUGAAUGGCCGGCCAUACAAAAGAAAAGAAGAAAGACAAAAAAGUAAAGAAAACAAAAGAGAAGAGUGUAGAAAGGAAGGUGGGGGCCAGCCAUGUGAGGAAAGAAAAAGGAAGAGAGAAAAGUUAAGUCGAUUAGUGAAGAAGAAAAAGAGAAGAAAAAUAAAGGAAGAAAAAAAUGAAGAGAAAAAGGGAGAGAAAGAACCGUGAGAGAGGAAGAGCAAAGAGAAUGGUUUUGCUGCACUUUGAGGAAGGAAAAAGAGAGUUUUUGCUGCAAUUUUGGAGGAAGAAGAAAUCUGAAAAUUUUGAGGUAAGAAAGUUGAUUGUUUUGAGGUUAAUUGCUAGAAUUUUUAAGGUUUUUAUGGCUGAUUUUGGAUGUAGAAAAUUGGAGCUGUUUGUUGCCAAUGUGUGCAAAAAAAUUGUGCAGAAAAAUUGGAGCUGGUUGUUGCCAAUUUGUGCAAAAAAAUUGUGCAGAAAAAUUGGAGCUGGUUGUUGCCAAUUUGUGUAGAAAAAUUAUGCAGAAAAAUUGGAGCUGUUUGCUGCCAAUUUGUGCAGAAAAUUGGACAGCUUGUGCUGCCAAAAUUGAGGAGUUUUGUUGCUGGAAAUUGAGCUGGAAAUCUGUCGAUUUUAGAGCAGAAAAUGGUAGCAAAAAGGGUGAGAAAAUGAGGUUUUUGGUGACCGAUUUUGAGAGGAAAGGAAGAGAGGAAGCCACGGUGAUGAAGAGAUGAAGCCAUGGUGGUGAAGAGAGGAAGCCACCGUGGUGAAGGGAAGCCACAGGCUGGAAAGAAAAAAGAAGAAGAAACAUGGAAGAGGAAAAAAGAAAGAAAAAGAAAAAAGAAAAGAAAAGAAAUAGAAAAUAAAUGGGCAUGACCUAAUGGAAAAUAAGUGGGCAUGACCGAAUAGAAAAUAAGUGGGCAUGGCCCAAUAAGAAAUAAAAAUAAAUGGGCUUAGCCCAAAUAGGAAAAAUAGAGAAGCCCAUGGAGAGGGCCCAAAGGUCAUAAAGAAAUGAAAAAGGCCCAAUGGUAAGUUAAUUUUAUAUUUUAAGAUUUAUGGGUAGUUUAAUAUUGUGCAUAUUUUGGAUGAAAAAUAUGCAAGUUGCUUAAGGAAUUUUUAAUUAAGUUGCUACCCAUACAAAUGUGUAAUUAAGUAUACUGAGUUUAAAUUGUUGCUAGGAAAGUUUAUUGUGGAGGCGUGCCGAACGAAGUAUGUGACCGACAAAUAGGAAUAAUUAUAUACGCGUACAAAUCAAUAGUGAAGUAAUAUCCCACUAUUAUGAGGUGAGUAGGGGGUGUCAAUUUUAAAAAUUCCUUAUAUAUAUACAUGUAUGUACAUUUUACAUGAAGUGCAAAAUUUAUGGAAAGCAUGCGUUGAUAGAAUUUUAAGGAAUUGUGAGUGUAAGUUAUUUUUAGAAAUAAUUUGGAAUAUAAACAAGCUUUUCGAAAAGAUUUAUAUCAAAGGAAAUUGUGCCUUAUUGUUUGUGUGGUGUGCAUUCAUGAAAUUUAUUACAUAUUCACCAUGCUAUUUUGAUACAAAAUAUCAUGCAAAUGUUUACAAUGAACAUUUUAUGAAAAGAGAGUUUUAACGUGAUGUGGGGAUCGAUAUUUUGAGAAAGAUUUAAAAUAUCCCCUUGAAGAUCAAAUUUGAAUUCUUUUAAAAGGUGAUUUCAUUUUUAACCAAGAAUUCAAGAGUAAUUGGAGAUUACUACUUGUUGUGUUAUAAAGUGUAUCUCGAUUCGAAUGGCUUAUGAUAAUGUGGGCAUGAAUGGCUGGAUUGGUAUUUGUAUUGAAAGUGUAUAAACUGUUAUUUGCCUUGAUAGGCUGGAUUGUGAUAUAAUUGCCAUGUCAUGCGGUUGAGAUUUUAUUGUAUGGUGGGUUAGCUUGCUGUAGUGGGCGAGUUCUGUGGACCAGCCUAUUAGAGGGGCACGAAAUCCGGAUAUAUAUAUGUACCUCGAUCAGAGAGGCACGUAGGGUAUCUCCUGAGGUAUGGAUAGAGUUCAUGUCACGCAGAACCACCUCGUGAUGAUGAACUCCGCUAACGCCAAGGAACGGCUGUGUUUUCAAAAUAAAAAUAUGAUUUAUGCGUACAUUACUUUUUAAUAGCCUUGGCGGAUUCGGUUGGGAUAGCCCCAGGACAAGGUAUCCUUGAUAACCGAGUAUGAGAAUGAUUUUGGCACAAGCCAAGUUUUUAAGAAAGUCAUAAGCCAUGUUGUUUAUUUUUGACAAAAAUGUAAUGGUUUUAUAUGAGUUGAAAUAAGUUUUAAUAUUAUGAAUUAUAUUUCUCUGCAUGGUGAAAAAAAAAAAGAAUUAAACGGUUUUUCACAACUCCCCUAUUUGUUUAUUCGUGAAAUGAAUAUGUAAUUCCUCCCAUAUAGGGUGAGUUAUGAUUUGUGCAUGAUUUUAAAUAUUGUAUGGUUUCGCGGGAGCUUGCUAAAUUUUAUUGAUUUGAUUCGAAAAUGAUUAUUAAUAUAUUUUGAUGCAAAAAAUUUUAUUAUCUCGAUUAUUUAUACUUUAUAAGAAAUUCUUGAUUUUUAUAUAAGGCACAAAUCCCCAUUUGAAACGAAUUGCUUUUAUAAUCCUGCAUUUUUAUAUUCAACUUAUAUGCCGUUUACUUGUUUCCCAUCUACGCCUUACUCGCUAAGUCGAUGAUUAUCAUUGAGUCUAUGAGACUCACACCCCUUUAUUUCCCUUUUUGCAGAUAGGAAUCAGCCUAGCGUGUAGUCAGUGAUGCGUUUGGUCCACCGUGAAUAGGUAAAGGCAUCUCCUAGCAUUUUAUUCUGAGUCACUCUGCUGUUAGGGGUCAAGUCGUAGCAUUUCAUUUCUUAAGUUGUAAAUGAAUUCUAAAUUUUUAUAUAAGCAUUAAUUUGGAGAUUAUAGAUUUAAUGCAUAUACUUACGAAUAAAAGGAAAAAGUUUGUAUUGAUUUUUAUAUUUAUGGUUCAAUUUAGUAUAUGAAAGUAUCAAUAUUAUAUGGUGAUUGAAUGUAGUGGAUUAACGAGCAAAUUCUAGAUAGGCUUGUUCGAGACUUGGCGGGUCUUUUUCGAAAGUCUUGGACCCCGACAGCGACCGGGGAGAGGUUGUUGCACCGCAUGUGCACAAAUAUAGCUAUUAUACAACAUUAUCACUCAAAGCAUAACAUACUUAUCUACAUAAUAUAGGAACACAUGAUUUCAUUAUAUCACAUAUUUUACCACAUAAAAACAUUUCAUCAAGGGCUUGUUCCCAUGAACAUUUUAAAGAAAAGUCUGAUAAAACAUUUCAGGUGAUUUAAUUAAACACAUAUGCAUUUAUUCCAAAAUAUUUUAAUGCAAGUUCACUCACAGUGUCUUUGUUGAUGCUUUGAUCGACUCUAACUGCGUCUAAUUCUCCGAAUGGAGAUGUGGAGUCUCGUUGGAACCUAUCACACACAAUAGUAUCACACCAACUCAAUUUACAUAGAUACUAUUCCAAAAGUUAUUUCCUAAAUCAAGUUUUACUAGUUAUUCCUAACUAGCUUCCAAUUACCAUUUAACUAGUCAUUGUUCACACUAGACAUGAUUAAAUAACCUUCAACAAUAAAUUAGCCCACAAACCUAAUUAUUGGCCAUCAUUAACAACUCAAAAAUCAAAUCUAACUCAUUACUCACCUUAGUGGUUUUAUAGUGGAGUUCUUUUCAAGAGUUCUUCAAGCUAUCAAGGAAAGUCUAUCUCUCUCUCUCUCAAAAUGUUCAACUAGUGAGAGAAAGUGCAAAGGAAAAGCGUUUGAGGGUUCUUGAGGUGUAAAAGUGAAAGAGUAUGAAAAAGUGUACAAAAGCAUGAAAAUCAGAGUUAAUUCGAGAAAGUUAUAGAGGCUUUAAGGUUUCUUUUCCAUGGAAGGGGGAAAACGUUUAGUGAGGGGAAAGGAUGGGAAGAAGAAGAAGCUGCUGGAAGUGAGGAGAAGUUGCUGGAAGAAAUGAGAUAUUUAUCCUAAAGUCAAUCAAAGUUUCACGAAAUUUACAAAAAUGCCCUUUUUUUGUUCUUCUGGUGCAGUGCCUUCACUUUGACAAAGCUUUUGACCACUUUCCGAUCAGAAAUGGGAAAAGUGGUAAACAUCAAAGUUGUAGCUAUCCCUCUUAGAUUUCUAAUGGUUUAAAAAUCAUGUCAUUUUAACUUCUGUAGUAUGAGAUAUGCCUGAAAAAUCGAAACAUAUGCAAAUAGAGCAACAGUUAAUUAUGCACCUUUCUUCACCAAUUGAAAUUAUUUUUGAUCCUACUCCUAUAAAAACAUAAAAUAAUUAUAAAUAACAUAAAACUAGCAUCAUUAACUCAAAAUAAACACUUAAACAUAAAUUAAACUAAACUAAUAAAAUAAAUAAAAAUACUUAAAUUCAAUCCUAAAUUUAGUCCAACUUAGGCUAAUUAGGUAUUUAAUCUCCCAUUAAAUUUGAGAAUUUGAUGCACUCAACAAUCUACCUCUAGUCACGCAUCUAUGGAGGUUGGGGUUUCAUAAUUAGGCACCAUAUUAAAGUACGAGGUAUUAUACAUAAUUCUUUAUAUAGCUGAUGAUCAAACUUUAAGAAUGAAUAUGGAGAUCAAUAAUAGUAGACAUUGCACCAUGCUUUUAUCAUCUUCAGGAUAUAUGAUAAGGGAAUGAAUUACACUGAAAGAUUGAUCAUUAAAAGGUUAAGUCAAACCAUCUUGACUCUUCUAACAUUUAGGUGGCCAUGAUGGAUUGCUAGAUCCCAAUCUUGGUCUAUGAACUCUAGGUAGUUGACUUGAUUAAUGAUAAAUUUAAAGUAGUUUAAAUUUAUCUAAUUCUAAGUUUAACUUAAAAAUUAUAUGUUGAGUUCAUUGCCAACAUGUUAGAAGCCUAAUGGGUCACACACCUAAAAUGAAUGUUGAAAAUAAAAUGGGAGAGGUGAUUAAGGUGGACUUAAUCAAAUUAUAAGUUAUGAGCUUCUCAAGCACUUGAUUAAAAUUAUUUAAUUAAGUUGUGCCUAAUUAAUUAAAUUGUUUAAUUAAGUCAUUGGGCCUAAUUAAUUAAAUUGUUUAAUUAAGUCAUUGGGCCUAGUUGAUUAAAAUUUUUUAAUUAAGUCAUUGGGCCUAGUUGAUUAAAAUUGUUUAAUUAAAUUGUUGGGCUUAAUUAAUUAUAUUGUGUAAUUAAGUUAUUGGGCCUAAUUGAUUAAAUUAAACAAUUAAGUUAACUGGGCUUUUUAAGGACUUAAUUAAAUUGUUUAAUCAAAUUAUUGGAUUAAUUGGCAAUUGCAAGAUAGUUUUGUAAUUAGGGUUUAAAAUUAUCCAAGGUAUAAAUACCUUGCUAAAGCCACCAAACAAAUUGAGAGAGAAUGGCUGAAAAAUUAAGAGAACGGCAAAUUAGAAAUUACUUUUGCCUUGCCACUCCUUGUGUGAAGAAAAAAUAGUUUUUCAUUCACUUGAUUUCUUUUGUGUGUUCAGCCCUGAAAUUUUGUGUAGAUUAUGAGUUUAUGAAACUCAUCUAUGCUAGCACAUUGUUAAGGCAUAGCACUCCCAAUCCUUAAAGAAGGAUUUUCUAAUUCAUUAAUGUGGAUCACCAUUAGAGGCUACAAAAUGAUUCCUUAGAUAGCUUUGGUUUGCAAUAACCAGGCUGAGGUGGUUGAGGUUUUUGAAGGCUGAUUUGGUGGUUUAACAAAGGAUUCAUCAACCUUUGUUAUUUAGGUAAGCUUGAUAUGAUCUUAUAUAUAUAUAUAUUUAUAUAUAUAUAUAUUAUUUUUAAUUUAAUUCUGUACUCAAUGUGGCAUGAAAGAGAUCCUAGGAGGGUGAGGCAUAAUUUAAUUUUUAAAAUUUUUUUUCGUUGCAUUUUAUUUGUAUUAGAUGCAUUAUCAACCCUCACCAAACAACCACUCUUACGCGCCGGCCACCAAGGAAUGGUGAUUCAUUUAGCCCAUUAUUUAGGGGAGAACAGUCUAGUGGAGCAUCUAAUCUGGGCCCCAUGCAAAGGGGUGUUUUGUGUAAUUAUUGUGGCAAGGCACAUGGUGGACCAUGCCAUAAGGUAACUGGUUUGUGUUUUGGAUGUGUUCAAUUUGGAUGAGAGAUUGUCUGAUGUAGAGGUAGUUGGCUGAGGGUGAUCAUGGAUAUGGAUGGCAAGUGUCCAAUAUGUUAGGAAUUUUUGAGAAUAUGGUGCCCUAGAAAGCAAGUAUAUUCUCAUGCUUAAAUUCAUUAAAUUUAUUUGUUAUGAAAGUACAUUUUGAUAAUAAGACAAAGAGUUUGGUUUAGUAAGCAUUCAUUAUCUAGUUAUUAAGAUACCAAGAUUUUAUUGAGAUAUUAAAAUACAUUUGUAUGAAGAGUCAUACAUAGGAGACGUGUAUUUUAAUUGAAUUUAAAAAUUGUUCAUGCUAUAUAAUAAAGCUGGUUACUUUAUUAUGUUAAGGCUGUAGUGUCUAGAUUACUUCUAACGAAAUGAAUGUGAUUCAUUUCAAGGGAAUGAUGAGUCUCAAAUCAUCAAAAUGGUUGGCUUCGAGUAAUGACACUAUAACAUGAACUAGAAUCAUGCGAGAAUCAAAUUUAAGUUUUACUGUUACCUAAAUCUUGAUCUCACACUUAUGCAUUUGCUUAUAGUAGAACCGAAAUCUUGAUGGAAGGUGGACUCGUGUGUAAUCUCCUUAUAAUCUUUGAUUUACCAUGAGCAUGAUCAUCAUAAAGGGUUGAUCUAGACUCUGUAUUUUGGUAUUAUAAUCGAGAUGAACAUUUGGGAACAUAUAUCCAAAUAUUGGAGUUCAUAGCAUUAACAUCACUUCUAGUGAUUUCAAGAAGAUUGGUGAUUAAUCUGAGCCUAGUUGAUUAAUGAAUUAGCUACUCAUCACAUUUGGAUACUCAAAAGAUUAGAUCUAUAGUAUUAAAUCAUUGAUUGGAUGAAAUUUGAGACUAGGGGACAAAAUUGACAUAAAGGGUAAAAUGGUAAUUUCACCUUUUGUUAUUGGAUGGCUAUAAUGGUUCACAAUAUAAGGUUUGCAAUUGGACAACUAAUAAUUAAUAUCAUGUAUUGAAUUGUUUCUUGUAAUUAUAGUUAAUCCAAGAGUGCAAUCAUGAAUCUAUGGUGGAGUGAUUUCAUGGUUUUUUUUUUUCUAUGGUGGAGUGAUUUCAUGGUUAAUAAGCUUGAAUUUUUUUUAAUGAGAUUAAGAAUAAUUCUAAGUUUAUUGGAGCUUGGAAUAUCUAUGUCCAAAUAGAUUCCCCACUUAGCUUCGUAGAAUUCAACUUGUUUAAGUUGGAAUGCAUGUUUUAAUUUGUUUAAUUAAAUUGUGUACAAAAAUGACCUUAAACAUGUUUGGUCUUAAUUUAGACAAGAGUUAUCUUAAAUUAAGAUAAUUUUAAGAGGAUUCUUGCAAAAUGAAUCUAGACAUCCAUGUUGAUAAAAGAAGAUUCCAUGUUUGUCUAUUACUCUUUUAUUUAUUAUUAAUUCUUUUUAAAUAAAGAUGGAUAAUAAUAAAAUAAGAGUUAUUUGAAUAAGGAGUUUUAUUUUAUCAAGAACUCUAAAUGAUAAUUAAGAAUUAAAUUAUUUAUUCUUUAAUUUUUAUUUUGAUAAUUUUGGAGUAUGUUUGAUGCUUCCAUAACUCUAAAUGGAUGGUCAAAAUUGAUUCAAAGGUGUUUCAUUUUGAUUAAACCUUUGAAGCAAGAGUUUUAAUAAAAAGUGAAGAGAUUGGAAGAAAAAUUGAGAACGUACUUUUUCUUGAAAAAAGUUUCAGCCGUCACUUCUCUUCUCUUCUCCUCCUCCAAGCUUUUCCAAAGAAAAGAGAACAAAAUCGGUUGCCAUCUUGUAGUCUUGCAUUCCACACCUUGUCCACUCAAGGUUCAAGUUGAAACUAUUCUUGAAGAAUAAGUGGUAAACUUGUUUGGUCGAGAAAUCAUUCAUUGGUGUGGUGGUGUUCAAAAAUAAGAAUCUCAAAAUAAAGGUAUGGUUUUUCUUACUUAAUAGAUUCUUAUUUUAUUUCUUUGGAUGUGAUUAUGCUACUUGCAAUAAUAAUAAUAAUGUGUGUUUCCGCUUGUGUAAUUGAAUUUCUUGCUUCCUUUAUAAAAUAAAAUUUUGAAAUCCAUGCUUUAAACAAUCACAUUAAUUCACAAAGAUCCGACUCCAACACAAUACUCUUCCUAGAAUUGCACCAACUAGGAGAAAUGUUAGAGGUGAAAAAUGCAAAAGGGUAGCCUCAUCGUCUCGAGGUAGAUUGUUGUUGAUUUUUUACUCAUGCAAGUGCACGUAUCGCAAAGAUAAUAUAGAGAUGAAUAGAAUGUCGAUCCCACAGAGAAUUGAAUUAAUACUUAUUGUUAAUUACUAAAAUUAACACACCUUAAUUUUAUCUAAAAAAUUAAAUUUAAAAAAGAAAAAUUUAAAUUAAUAAACUAAAAACUAAAACUAAUAUAUUAGCAAAUUUUACUUCUAGUGAUUAACAGACCUAAGAUUAUGAUAUCCCUCAAUAUUUCAUCUGAAUAUUGUCUCUCUCUCUCUUAACUCAAUUUAAUGGAUUAAGUUGCUAACCUAGAGUCCUAAAUUAUUUACAAGUCUCUGUCAAGUUUCUCAUAAAAAUACCUCUCCUAAUUAAUUUACUAUAUGUCUAUGCAAAUUAUAUUGAAGAAGGAUUCAUUAAGUUUGUGCUUUAAUUUUGGCUACGUAUGGCUUUUAGGUGUAUGUCUACCCUAUAUGCAAAUCAAACCACCAUAUCAACUAAGUGUAUUCGAUCAUACGCUACUCUAUUCAAGGUCUACCUAAUUCUCCUUCGUCAAGGUUUAACUUAGGUUUCCAAUUCAAUCUAAUUGGUGGCCAGUAAACUAAAAGCAUUAAGAACAGAAUAAAAUAAACAACUUAAAUCUAUCAAACAUAAAUAAAAAAGAGAUAAAUAAUUCAUAGUACGUGUCGAGUUCAAUCAUAAUCUUAGAUUAACAAUUUAGUUCCCCAUCAAGUCACACAUCAUCAUUGAAUAAAGUUUAAACAUUAAGAACAAAACUAAGAAACAUAAGAAAAUAUCAAAAGGAAAAAACCAAGGAUUGUAUUCUUGAUUCCAAAUCUUCUUGAAGCCUUCAAAUUCUUCUUUGCUUCAAUGACUUUGUGGCUUGACUCUUAGCUGUCAAUCUGGUGUUUUGUUCUCCUUUGAAAGGUUAUUUUUAUAGGUUUUGAAGUUAGGCCAAGUUAAGUGAAGAAAGAAGUCAAUUUCAGCUAGAAUUUCCUCACCAAACAAUGUGAGUCGCAGCCUGGCCCAAUUAAUUAAUAGAAAUCGUAAUUGCUCUAAGAAUGCUACAGUGUGUCAACUUCGACAAGAUUUUUGACUAUUUUCAGGCUGAACUGGGUAAAAUCGUAAGCAUGAAAGUUAUAUAUUUUUUUCUUAUCUUUCCAAUGUUUCAAGAAUCGCUUUAUUUGGAGCUUUGUAGAGAGAGUUAUGGUCGAAAUACCAAAACAUAUACAGUGGAAGUCUGCACCUUGAAAUUGCUCUAUUUCUUCGAUUAAAAUUCUUCUUUCAUGAAACACUUACAAAAGCACAAAUAAAUCAAUAACAACUUCUCAUAACCACAUUAACACCAAAUUAAGUAUAAAAUUAACUAAGAUUAGUUUGACUCACCUAAAAUAACUAAUUUAAAAUAAUUAAAUAAAAUCUACUUAUUUUUAUGCAUUACUACAAGAACUAAGCUCAAUUACUAUCAAAAUUAAGCUCAAAUAACUUUAUAUCAUAGAGUUAGUAUAGAUCGACACAAUUGGGUAAUGAUGGAGGAGGCCAAGUGAAGGUGUUUGCUUUGAUACCGCAAGAUGCUUAGACUUCUAAUGUAGUGGUCAUAGGUACACUUUCUAUUUGUGGUACCAAAGCUUUAGUUUUGUUUGAUCCCGGAUCAAUACAUUCCUUUGUGUCCCCACAUUUUGUGCCAAAAUUAGAUCAAUUUUGUAGCAAUAUGGAGGAACCCUUAAUUGUAACUAUUCCUUUAGAGGAGACAUUUGCGGCAAAAUAUGUAUAUAAAUCUUUUGUGGUUCGUAUAAAGGACAAGGAUAUGUUAGCAGACUAAGUGCUGUUACUAACUUUGGAUUUUGAUGUGAUUUUGGGAAUGGAUUGGUUCGCAUCCUGUUUUGUUAAGGUAGAUUACUACUGUAAGCUUGUGAAGUUUAAGUUUUCAGGGGAAUCCUCAUUUGUGAUAUAUGAGCAUGGUAGCCCAAUGGCUGUGAGAGUUGUGUCGGACAUAGCUGCUAGGCCAAUGCAGAGGCAAGAAGGCCAAGGGUACUUGGCGAUGACAAGAAACACUUCGACAGAUGACGAGAGUGUGGAUUGUGUAUCGGCAGUGGGUUAGUAUUUGGAUUACUUCUUGAGAGGGAAAUAAAAUUUCGUAUUGAUUUUAUUCUGGAUACACAACCAAUUUCAAUACCUUUUUAUCGAAUGGCACCAACUGAAUUAAGAGAGCUUAAAAAGCAAUUGGAGGAUUUAUUGAAUAAGGGUUUUAUUCAUGCCAAUGUUUCUCUUUAGGGAGCUUCAAUGCUAAUCAUAAAGAAAAAAGGAUGGUAUCCUUUGGUUAUGCAUUGACUACCGAUAAUUGAAUAAGGUUACUAUGAAGAAUAUGAAUCCAUUCUCGAGGAUUAACGAUUUGUUUGAUCAAUUGUAAGGUGUCGUGUGCUUCUCUAAGAUUGAUUUACGCUCGGGGUAUCACCAAUUAAGAAUAUGAGAGUGUGAUGUACCCAAGAUAGGGUUCUGCACAUGUUAUGGACAUUAUGAUUUUCUAGUGAUGUCGUUUUGACUCACCAAUGCACCAAUAGCAUUUAUGGACUUAAUGAAUAAGGUUUUCUGAGCAUAUUUGGACAAAUUUGUGGUCGUAUUUAUAGACGACAUAUUGGUGUAUUCUAAGAGCUCGGAGGAACAUGCCCAACAUUUGAGAAUUGUACUUUAGACCUUGAGAAAGCAUAGGUUAUAUGCUAAAUUUUCAAAGUGUGAGUUUUGGUUGAAUAAAGUCAGUUUCUUUGGGCACAUUAUGUUUGAACAAGGGGUGCAAGUGGCUCCUAACAAAGUGGAAACUGUGGAGAAUUGGCCACGGCCAAAGUCUGCAACAAAAGUUAGAAGUUUGCUAGGUUUAAUCGGAUAUUAUAGACAUUUCAUACAAGAUUUUUGUAAGAUUGUAUUCCCUGUGACAAGACUGACACAGAAAGGAGUUAAGUUUGAAUGGUCUGAUGCAUGUGAGGCUAGUUUUUAGAGGCUCAAAGCCUAUCUCAUGUUCGCACUUUAGCUAAGUGUGCCAUGUGGAUCUAGAGGCUAUACCAUGUAUUGUGAUGCAUCAUAAAUUGGAUUGGGUUGUGUGUUUAUGCAACAUGGGAAAGUUAUGGCAUAGACUUUUCGAUAGUUGAAGAGGCAUGAAUAGAACUAUCCUACGUAUGACCUAGAAAUGGCUGCAAUUGUGUUUGCUUUGAAAAUUUCGCACCAUUAUCGCUAUGGUAUUACUUAAGAAAUAUAUACUGAUCAUAAGAGUUUGAAGUAUAUAUUUUAGCAAAGAGAUUUAAAUUUGAGACAACGUAGAUGGUUGGAAUUAUUGAAAGAUUAUGACUGCACCAUACUUUACCAUCCUAGCAAGGCCAAUGUGGUGGCAAAUGCCUUGAGCCGAAAAUCGAUGGGGAGUUUGGCACACAAGACAAUAGUGAAAAGACCUUUGGUGUAGAGCUUGUAUGAUUUGGGCAAUAUGGGUUUACAUUUUGAGGUUAAUGAUUUUAAUGCAUUGUUGGCACAUUUUAGAGAUAGACUAGUGAUACCAAAUCGAAUUAAAGUUGCCUAAGAUCAAGAUGAAUAUAUGGUGAAAAUAUUUAGAGAUAUGAGCAAAGAUAGAGGUCAAGACUUUGUGUCCGAAACAUAUGGUUUAAUGAGAUAUUGAUCAUGAAUUUAUGUGCCGAAUACGGAUAAUUUAAGAAAUGAGAUUUUGUAAGCGACGCAUGUGGCAACCUAUGCAAUACACUCUAGAGCCACCAUCAUGAUCUGAAGUCUGAGUAUUGGUGGCCAAGAUUAAAAAGAGACGUGGUGGAAUAUGUCUCUAAGUGUUUGACAUGUCAGCAAGUAAAGGCUGAGCACCAGAAGCCUUUCGAACUGUUACAGCCAUUACUAAUUCUCGAGUGGAAAUGGGAACAUGUAGCAAUGUAUUUUGUGACGGGUUUACCACAAGCUAGAGGUGGCUAUGAUGCCAUUUGGGUAAUAAUUGAUUAGCUCAUUAAGUAGGCUCAAUUGUUUCUGGUCAAAAUUAAGUAUGAAGCAGCUCAGUGUACCCAAAUCUGUAUUGAUGAGAUUGUAAGACUACAUGGUGUUCCAGUAACGAUAGUGUCCGAUUGAGUAUCAUAGUCCGGUAGCUAGUUUUGGAGGAAAUUUCAAGAGGCCUUAGGCACAAGAUUGGAUUUUAGAAUGGCCUUCCACCCACAAAUGGAUGGCCAAUACGAGUGCACCAUUCACACACUAGUGGAUAUGUUGAGAGCAAUUGUGCUCGAUGUGAGACCUUGAUUUUUUUAUAGACUCGUAGCUAGAAGUAGACGCGAUAACACGAACUAGGGAUAAUUUUGUCAUUUUCCUUAAUGAGCUUUUAGAAGUGGGUUUUCUAAUAUUAUUAAGGCCUAAGUAGGCCUAAGGAAUAAAUGAAUGAUGAAAAUGAGGAUAAAAUGACGAAGGAAAUAAAAAUAAUGAUGAUUUUUAAGGUAGGGGCAAAAUGGUCAUUUUUCAUCUCGAGUCAAGAUUUUUAAGUUUUCGUGAACUCAAGUAUUUCUAGACUAUUAUGGACUUUAUCUCAAAGCUAACUUGUUAAGGGCAUUUUCGUAAUUUAAGUGAAGUUUGGAUAAGCUUUAGCUAUAAAUAUCAUUUUUCAGUAGCUUCUUCUCAUUUUUCAAUAGCUUCUUCUUCUUCUCCCUCCCAUCUCACAUUUCUUUCAUCCUCUAUGAAAGCUUCUCUCAAAGCUUCCAUCACCCUCUCAAACUAACCAUAAAUUUCAUGCUUUUACACACCCUGUUAUAGGGUUUUUCAUGCUCUUUCACUCUCUCACCUUAAAACCCUUAAAAAGUCUUACUCCCAUACUUUCUCUCACUAGCUAGGUGUUUUAGAGAGAGAAAAAGAGAGAGAGCUUCUAUAAUAGCUUGAAAAUUUGUGGAAAGGAAUUUACUUACAAAGCUACCAAGGUGAGUAAUGAAGUAGAGUUGAUUUUUAAGUGUUGAGAAUGGCUAGUGAUUAGAUUUGUGAGUGUUUUAUAGUUGAGGUUGUUUAUUCAUUUUAGAGUGAUUAGGAUAGUGAAAAUAGAUGGCCACUUAAUGGCAAUUGGAAGCUAGUUAGGAGAUAGCUUUAAAAAUUUAUAGUUAUGUGAAUUGAGUUAAUUGUGAUGUUAUUGUGAUAAUAGGUUCCAACGAAACCCCACUGCCCCAUUUGGACCAUUAAAGGAAGUUAGAGUUGGGUAAAGAUUUAACAAGUACCGAUGAGUGAACUUGCAUUUCAAAAUGUUUUGGGAAGUGCCUACAUGUUUAAAUAAAUCAUUUGAAAGUUUCAUUUGUUUUUGCUUUAAAUAUAUACCUAGGGAAAAAAUAUACUUGGGGAACAAGCCCUUGAUGAAAUGUUUCUAUCUUGUGAAAUGUGCAAUAUGAAUAGUUCAUGCGUUAUCACAUUAUAUUUGUCAAGCCCUACUCUAUUAUAUACUUGUCAUGUCAUUCAUGUGCUUGAUAGAAUGUUUGCAUAAGUGAAUGUAUUGAAAAAUCGUUAAAAGUCGGUAUUGUACCUAGUGGUACAAUUAAGUUGAUUAAAGCCUUGAACUAGGUCAAAUAAAGAUUUUACAAUGUAUUUGAGAGUUAUUGAAUCUUAGAAUGUCUUAAUAUGGUGAUUCGGAGUUCAAGGAUUGAUUUGGAGUCCAAUCGAGAAUUUUCAUAACGUAAGGGCAAAAUGGUCAUUUUACCACCCAAGGGCAAAAUUGGAAUGUUGGAUGAGAUUUUUGACCAAGUUUGACUAUUUGGAGCAUAAUUUGAAAUUGUGGAGUGAAAAAUUUCAAUUUUGACAUUUUUUCGACAUUUUUCGAGUAUAAGGGCAAAACGGUCAUUUCACGUGUCCAUGAGGACGUAAUUGAAAUUUUACACCACCAUGACACUUGUCAAGCCCAUGAAUUUCACAUGUUAUCACUUUAUACUUUGGAUAAUUAUGGGAUUACAUGUGGUGGUGAGAAAUUGCUUAAUGGUUAAGUUUUUAAUCAUGGACCAAUCAAGUGGUGACAUGUGUCAAGCUUUAAUAUUUUUAUGAUUUUCCUUUAUAAACUGACUUAAGCUUCUCCCAUUUCACUCUUAUGGCUGGCCAAGCAAGGGAACAAAGAGAAAAAGAGAAGAACAAACCCUAGGAAGGAAAAAUUCAAGAGUAAUUGUUGGAUUUCAAGGAAUCAAACAAGUAAAGGUAAGAUUUUUUAAUUUUAGCUUGUGAUCUACCUUUCCCAUGCAUUCUUUUUCAUUCUCCAUGGCUGAAAUUCAAGUUUUCAAGAGGGAACCUUGCUGGCCAAAUCUAGAGAGAGAAGUUUUGGUGAUGAAUUUUGCUAGAUUUCAUAAUAACCUAGUGUUUUUAGUCAUUUUGUGAUGUUUGGAAGGAAAAACAAGCAAGAAAAUCCAUGUUCUUCAACCACCCACAUUUGGCCAAAUUUUCUAUAGGGCAUGUUGAUGAUGGAUUUGGUUGUAAUUCCUGUUAUUAGCUAGGAAUUGAUGAAUUAUGAUGUUGGAUAUAGAAAUCGGAAUGAAUUUUGGUUACGGUGAAUUAAGUCACAAUUAAGCUCAUUGAGGUACUUUGGUGUAUUUGGAAUAUUGGAAGUGUAAUGAAGAUAUUUAGAGUUGAAUUGGAUGUUUUGGCUAAUUAAACAAGGUAUAGUAUGAGUUAGGUCGAAUGCCAAUUCAGUCUGAUCAUAAUUGAACCCACGUAGAACACCGUCUUUAAGUGAUUAUUCGGACAAUUCUCAUUCAAUGUCAUGCAUUCAUAUAGAGCCUGAAAUAAUUUUAUAAUAGUUUGGCACAAAUAUAUUGAAUUACAUGUCGUUUAUUAUGUAUAGGGGGUAAGCCCUUUGAUAAGGGUAAAGAUAUUGUGCUUGAGGACCAAGAAUAAGAGUACUCCAAACUCCUGCUAUUAUGAGUAAUCAGACUUUCAUCUUAACUAUCUAAAGUAGUUUAUACUCGUUUUUAUAUUUUAAAGAAAAUUGAAUUUAAAUUGCAAACUAUUAUGUUUUAUAAUUGAAGUGUUGAUUAAACGAACUGAGAUUUAUAACUUGUUUUGAAAUUGAAUAUUGGUUUUGGAAAUUGAGUAAGUGGAGACUGUAUACUUGUGUUAUAUAUAUGUUUUGAUAUAUGGUUUGAAUUGAUGGCUUAUGACAAUGUGAUGGCAAGCAUGGCUGGAUUUGUGUUUGUGUGGAAUAUAUGAACUGUUUUGCUUUGCCUUGACAGGCUGGUAAUAUUAUAUUAGCCAUGUCAUGUUGUCGAAAAUUUUAUUGAAUUGGUGGGUUAUUUGAUUAGCUUACUGCAGUGGGUGGGUUUCCGUGGACUAGCCUAUGAGAGGGGCACGGUAAACCUCGUUAUAUUUUACCUUAGUAUGAGAGGCGAGAAGGGUAUCUCCUAAGGUAAAGUUAGAGUUCACCUUACGCCGAACCACCAUGUGAGGGUGAAACUCAGCCAACGCCAAGGAAUGGCUGUGCUUUUAAAUGUAAAAAAAAAAUGAGUUUUAUACUCAUAUGUUAUUUUAACAGCUUUGGCGGACUCGAUUGGAUGUCUCGGGGCAAGGUGUCACAGAGUCCAAGUUUUUAGCACGAGCCAAAUUUUAAGAGAAUCAUAAGCCUUGUUGAUUUUGAUGAAAUGAAAUUGAUUUACAUGGGUUGAAAUGAGAUUUGAUGUUAUGAAUCAUAUUAUGAUGAGAUGUUUUAAAUUGUCUCCAUUUACUCAGCUUUAGAUGUUAUAGAUGAAAUUUGCUUACUCAUUGGGUUUAUAAAAACUCACCCCUCCUUUUCACCCAUUUCAGGCUUAGGGCAGUUUGUAGACCGCUGAUUAUGUCGAGGGUUUGCUUUUGGGUUUUCACCCUUAGAAAUCGCAGGUCUAUAGUCUUGUACAUAUAUGUUUAUUUUGGGGGCCCACAUGUCAUUGUAGAAUAUUUUGUAUACCUAGCUGCGUGUGCCACUGUAUGUAUGAAUUUAUUUUGCUUUUAUGCUACAAAAAUUAUUUACACAGAGUUCUAUAAAUAUUGUUUUAUAAGAAAAUGGAAUAUUUUAUUUAAUAUUUUUAUUUAAUUUGAAUAGCUAUAAUUUCACUUUAAAUUGAUGAAUUAGACAACGAAACUUAUUUUUAGAUACGAACUGUAUAUUUUUCAUUUAUAUAUUAUAUUUUUAACAGGAUUCAAAAUUUUUGGGUAAAAUGACCAAAAUACCCCUGUGCAGUAGAAAUUACUUUUUGAUCGUUUUGAUUUGAAAAUAAUCUAUAUUCUUUCAAAACAUGAUAUUUAGUAACUGUUGCUCACAAGAGAGACAUAAAAUUGAUGCAAGAGCCUUGCGAGGUUUUGGUUGACGUUCUGGGUAAUGAAUGUCUAUGGAGACAUCGUGGCGGUUGUCACGGGCUCGAUGGGAAUUUCGGGUCGUGACAAUAUUGAUAUGAAUAUUAUUCAUUGGAUGUUUCUUUUGUGUGAUAAUGAUGACCCAGCUAUGUGUGUGUGGGAGUGCACAUGAGCUGAUGAUGACCCGGCUAUGUGCGAGUAGGGAGUGCACAUGAUGAUGAUAUUGCAUUGUGCAUGUAGGGAGUGCACAUGAGCUGAGUGUGGCGGAUGGUAUGCAUGAUGAUGUAUGUAUAUAUAUAUAUAUAUAUAUGUUAUAUAAAGUUUAUGAAAAUAUUUGUGAUUGUGUUGUAUGCUGGCAUUGUUAAUUGCUCCCAAAUUGCUUUUCAUUUCAGCAAGAAAAUGGCUUUUUGAUGUAACAAGACCCCUUCAACUAAAUUGCUCUGUUCUCGCUGCAGCGAGAUUCAUUUUCCUUGCAGCAAGAAACUCUCGGGUAGGCAGCCUUAAUCAUGCUUUGAAUUUUGCUGUAGCAAGGAAUUUUGUUGUAGUGAAAAUGAAUCUCGUUGCAGCGAGAAACUCUCGGGGUAGUUCCAAAAUUCUAAUGUAGUACUUUCAAUUUGAAAAAGAUUUUGACCACCUUCCAAUCAAAAUUGGGAAAUGUGGUAAUCAUAAAAGUUGUAUCCCAGCCUCUUAGCUUUCUAAUGAUUCAAAAAUCAUGUCAAUUGGACUUCUGUAGUGGGAGAUAUGUUAGAAAAACCAAAACAUAUGCAAAUUGAGAAUGCCUUUUCGUUGUAUCAAGAAAACUCUUUAUUUGCUUGUCUUGCUUGGUCAUUGCUGAAAUUUUCAUUCUAUUUAACUUCAUGGUUUAUCAUGGAUCUUUGUAAAAUUAAGGGAUUAAACAUUCAAGGUUUGAAAUGAGGGGUUUUAACCAAAAAUUAGACUAAAUUGCAUGGUUUUAUCGUAAGUGCAUCAUGUUUUCUAAAACAUUCCUUAUCGUUGCUUGUUCCCUUCUUAUGUUCACUCACUGAGUUUUAUACUCACUCUUUUAAACUUCAUGUUUUCAGAUUCGGAGGCAGUUGGGACCUAGAUUGAGUUGUCCACAUAUGCUCACCUUCUUGGUAGGUAGUAUGACAUCUCAGUAGCCGGUACUCACCCACAGUCACUCCGCUGACGGUCAAGAGUCUUAUGCUUGUGUAUACAUAUAAAUAAUGUAGACCACUAAGAUUCAUGUUAAAAAUCAAAUAUGUAUAUUUGAUUACUGAUGCCAUUAUAGGUUGGCAAACGAGUGACAUUAUUUUAACAUAAUACAAAUGUGAAUAUUGGGUUGCUAUAAAAUGUUACUGAAAUUUUUAUAGUUGAGAAUUACAAUAUGUGGUUUUUGAAAUGAUGGCGGGGAAUGAUGAUCGAGAUUGCAUAGAAAGGCUUGCUUGGGCUUAUUAUAUGCCUUUGGCCAAAUUUUCUUACAAUAAUAGUUAUCAAGCCACAAUUGUUAUGGCUUCUUAUGAGGCUUUAUAUGGUUGAAGGUGUAUAUCACCUAUUAAUUAGCUUGAGGUCGGAGAAAGGAAACUCUUAGGAUCGAAAAUGGUCUAGGAAGCAGAACGAGGCAUCUAUGUAAUUAGAGAAAGGCUAUUAAUGGCUUAAAGUCACCAAAAGUCCUAUGCUAACAAUAGGCAAAGGCCUUUAGAAUUUCAAGUUGGAAAUUAUGUUUUUUUCAAAGUUUCAUUGAUUAAAAGAGUCAAAAGAUUUGGGAAGAAUGAGAAAUUGAAUCAUAGAUACAUCGGGCCCUUUGAGGUAUUAAAGUGCAUUGGUACAGUUGCUUAUCAUUUGGCGUUACCACCUAAUUUGUCCGAUGUUCAUCUGAUUUUUCCAUGUAUCCAUUCUUAGGAAGUAUGUUCCUAGCCUUUCGCAUGUGAUUCAGCAUGCUGAGGUCCAGUUACAAGACAAACUUAGUUACGAGGGUAGCUUAUAGCCAUAUUUGAUUAGCAAGUAAAACGACUUUGCUCUAAAGAUAUUGUUAUGGUGAAAGUGUUGUGGCAAAGCCAUGCGGUUGAACAAGCCACAUGGGAACUCAAAGAGGAAAUGAGAUAGAAAUAUCCCCACUUAUUUGAGGUUUAACUUACAUUUUAAUGUGUGGUAUAUGAUUUGAAAUUCAUGGAUGAUUUCUUAGAAGGAGGGGAGAAUGUAACACCCUCGAUUUUUUUAAUAUUAAUUGUGCAUGAUGCUAGACUAGCUCACAGGUUGAUCUUAAGUGAAAUGUGAAUGAUUGUAGGUUGUGGAGGAGAUUUGGGAUGAGUUUAGGCUUCAAAAGAACCAAUAUUUAUGAAUUUGAACCACAAGAGUCAAUCCCAAUGCUUGGAGGAUCCAUCUUGUGAAGUAGAAAUUUAAGGGUAAAUAAUUUGUGUAGAAAAAUUUAGGGGUAAAAAUAACACUGGCCCAAGAUCGAGUACAAAACCCUUGUAGUUGAUCCUAGGGCAAGAAAUGGGGGUGAGAUUGAACAAUGUGGUCCAAGAUCAACUCUGGAGCUCCCAUAGUUGAUCUUGAGGUGCCAGAUCAGCAAAAAUUAGGCUUAAAAGCCCCAAAACUGAAAAAUCCUCUAUUUUCUUCCAUUUCUUCAUUCUCUCAUCCGAGUUCUCCAAAAUUUCACCCCACUCAAAAUCUUCACACUUUAAUGCUAAAUCUUGGAUUUGAGGAGCUAAAAGUGAGGAUUUGUAUCUCCAAAAGUGUGGAUUUUAUUUGUGAUCUCUUUCGCUAACAAUUUCAAACCCUAAGUCUCAAGGUGAUGUGUAAAGCUUAUUUAAGCUAGAUCCAUACUUGAGAAACAUUCUUAGAGGUAAGAUUUAGUGUUUUUGUUGGUUGAUUUUCAAUUUAAUCAGUUGAUAACCUAAGAUUUAAUUUUGGUCUAACUUUGAGGAAAAUUGGUCCCAUUUAGUUGACUGAAGAUUUGGGAUAAAUUGUGCAACUCGGCUUCCAAGGUAUUGGUUUAGCUCAUUAUUAAAGGGUUUGAGCUUAUAUGUGUUGAAGUUGGAUCUUAGUAGAUUGAUGUGAUUUAUAAAAGCAUGGAUUUCAAAAAUUUCUUUUAUAAAGGAAGCAAGCAAUCCAAUUACAUAAGCAGAAACACACAUCAUUCUUAUUGCAAGUAACAUAAUCGCAUCCUAAAAAAAUAAGAAUCUAUUAAGUAAAACAAAUCAUACCUUUUAUUUUGAGAUUCUUAUUUUCAGACACCACCACACCAAUGAAUGAUUUCUCAACCAAACAAGUCUACCACUUAUUCUUCAAGAAUAGUUUCAACUUGAACCUUGAGUGGACAAGGUAUGGAAUGCAAGACUACAAGAUGACAACUGAUUUUGUCUCUCUUUUCUGCAGAAAAGUUUGGAGGAGGAAAAGAAAAGUGACGGUUGAAAUUUUUUCAAGAAAAAGUACGUUCUUUUUUUUUUCUUCCAAUCUCUUCUCUUUUUAUUAAAACUCUUGCCUCAGAGGUUUAAUUAAAAUGAAGCACGUUUGAAUCAAUCUUGACCAUCCAUUUAGAGCGAUGGAAGUAUCAAACAUACUUCAUAAUUAUCAAAAUUAAAAUUAAAGAAUAAAUAAUUUAAUUCUUUAAUUAUCAUUUAGAGUUCUUGAUAAAAUAAAACUCCUUAUUGAAUAAUAACUCUUAUUUUAUUAUUAUCCAUCUUUAUUUUGAAAGAAUUAAUAAUAAAUAAAAGAAAGAUAGUCAAACAUGGGGUCUUCUUUUAUCAACAUGGAUGUCUAGAUUUGUUUUGCAAGAAUCCUCCUAACAUUAUCUUAAUUUAAGACAACUCUUGUCUUUAAUUAAGACAAAAAUAUUUUAUCUUGUCAAAAUUGAGACAAAAAUGUUUUCUUGUCUAGAUUAAGACAAAAAAUAUUUUUCUUGUCUUAAAUUAAGACAAAGAUAUUUUGUUGUCUAAAUUAAGACCAAACAUAUUUUUUUGUCUAAAUUAAGACAAACAUGUUAAAGCUUCCAUUUUUGUACACAAUUUAAUUAAUCAAAUUAAAAAAUUUCAACUUAAACAAGUUGAAUUCUACGAAGAUAAGUGGGGAAUCUAUUUGGACAUAGAUAUUCCAAGCUCUAAUAAACUUAGAAUUAUUCUUGAUCUCAUUAAAAAUAAUUCAAGCUUAUUAACCACGAAAUCACUCCACCAUAGAUUCAUGGUUGCACUAUUGGAUUAACUAUAAUUACAAGAAACAAUUAAAUACUUGAUAUUAAUUAUUAGUUUUCUAAUUACAAACCUUCUAUUGUGAACCUCAUAGCCGUCCAAUGACAAAAAGUGAAAUUAUCGUUUUACUGUUUAUGUCAAUUUUGUCCUUUAGUCUCAAUUUCAUCCAAUUAGUGGUUCAAUACUUUAGAUCUAAUCUUUGAGUAUGCACAUGUGAUGAGUAGCUAAUUCAUCAAUCCACUAGGCCCAGAUUAAUCACUAAUCUUCCUAAAAUCGCUAGAAGUGAUGUUAAUGCUAUGAACUCCAUUAUCUAGAUAUAUGUUCCCAGAUGUUCAUCUUGAUUGUAAUCCCAAAAUACGGAGUCUAGAUCAAUGCUUUAUGAUGAUCAUGCUCAUGGAAAAUUAAAGAUUCUAAGGAGAUUAAACAUGAGUCCACUAUCCAUCAAGAUUUUCAUUCUACUAUAAGCAAAUACAUAAGUGUGAAUCAAGAUUUUAAGUAAUAGUAAAACUUAAAUUUGAUUCUCACGUGAUUCCAGUUCAUGUUAUAGUGUCAUUACUCGAAGUUAACCAUUUUGAUGAUUUGAGACUCAUCAUUCCCUUGAAAUGAAUCACAUUUGUCUCGCUGGAAGUAAUGUGGACACUACAGCCUUAACACAAUAAAGUGACUAGCUUUAUUAUAUGGCUGUGAAUAAUUUUUAGAUUCAAUUAAAAUACAUGUCUUCUAUGUAUGACUUUUUCAUACAAAUGUAUUUUAAUAUCUCAAUAGAAUCAUGGUACCUUAAUAACUAGAUAAUGAAUGCUUACUAAAACAAACUCUUCGUUUUAUUAUAAAAAUGUACCUUCAUUACAAAUAAAUUUAAUGAAAUUAAGCAUGAGAAUAUACUUGCUUUCCAAGGCACCGUAUUCUCAAAAUUCCUAACAAUCUCCUACUUGCCCUAAAAGCAAGUAUGACAUAUCCUUCAUUCCAAGACCUUUUAAGUGACCAUCGAAAGUUUUUUGUGUUAGAGUCUUUGUGAAUGGAUCGGUGAGGUUCUACUCUAUUAGAAUUUUCUUCACAAGUACUUCUCAACGUUGUAUGAUCUUUUGAAUGAGAUGAUAUUUCCUUUCAAUGUGUUUUGUUGCUUUAUGAUUCUGUGGUUCUUUUGAGUUAGCCAUUGUCCACUGUUAUCACAAUAGAGUGUAAUAGAAUUAUGGUACCUUAAUAAAUAGAUAAUGAAUGCUUACUCAAACUGUAUGGGAAUAUUAAUUUAAUGUACUUUCAUUAAAAUGUUGAAUUACAUAUAAAUUUUUUAUCAAAAUAAAUCAUUGUCCACUGUCCACUCUUCGUUUGUUUAUCAAAAUGUACUUUCAUUACAUAUAAAUUUAAUGAAAUUAAGCAUGGGAAUGUACUUGCUAUCCAGAGCACCAUAUUCUCAAAAAUCCUAACAAUAUGUUGAAUUGUUAAGGAUUUAGCUAGUUUUAGAAAAGCUGGCAUUUUUGGAAAGCCAAGAUUUAAUGGAUUUCGUAAUGUUUUGAUGUGCUUAAGGGAAUAUUGAUUUAUUUGAGCAUGUUUAUGAGCUGAAAAAUGAUUGGAGGCUAAGGAUUGAAGCUUGGUUGAGGAGCACCUCCAAAUUGUCCCCAUGAGUGGGAUUUAUCAAAUGCAUGUGAUGCAUAACGCAUGGAAUAUGCGUUGCACUGGAUAUUAUGAAUGUUGGCCUAGAUGAGCAUGCUUAGGCUAGAGAAUUAUGUAUUUAUGUGUAAGAAUGUGAUUGCCUAGAUGAAUGUACCUAGGCUAAUAUAUGGUUUACAUAUAUGUUAAUAUAUAUGCAUGUUUUGUGAAUGCCAUUGGGAAGCAUGAGCCAGUAGACAUCUAGGUGAUGUAUGAUUUUGAUGGGUCCUGGAUAUGUGGUGAUUAAAUCAUUAUGAUGGUGAUACUACGAUGUGUUAUUAGAUUGCCCAUUUGUUGACAGAAUGUUGAUGCAUGAUUUGAUAUGAUAUUAUUCAUGUAUAUGCGACUAUUAGGCCAUGAUUGAAUAUAAAUUAUAUUGUUGAUGUAUACAUAGCCAGUGAGCCAUGAUUAAUAAGGUAUUUAGAACUUGAAUGAGCUUAUUGAUAGAUGAGGCUUGAUGAAUGUGAUCAUCAUCAUGUUAUGGACAUAUAGAAAUAUAAAGACAUGAUGGUCUCAGUCUCAUUGAGGAAAUGUGUUCCAUCUGAGGAAUGAGUUAUGGACGUCGAUCUAACUUGAGGAUGAGUGGAGUUUGAUAUCCAUGUGACUAUGUUAGUGCCUCAAGGAUGGUGGUAAAUAAGGGUAGUGGUUGAAAUCCUGCCUAUGAUUCUUGCUUGUUGUGUAUAAUGCCAUUCGCCCGGAGAUUACUCCGGAUGAUGAUUGUGAUGCCACUUGUGGAGAAUACUUCAGGUGAUGUCGUCUUUUGGGAUAUUGCUAUCAUGACUCAAACCCAGGGCCAUGAUCAAUGCACGAGCCCAGCAGGCGAGCCCACUAGACCCAAGCAAACCUCAAGGUUCAUAUCCAAGCAUACACAGGCCAAGGGACUCAAUAAUCAAGCAUUCAUAAUAAAUUCGAAUAAAGUACAAUAUCCCUAGCUAAAUUUCCAUACAAAUAGAAAUAGGGCCAUACAUUGGCCAUCCAAACGAGUUCAUACAUAUUAACCCUUAAUACACAACAUAACAUGGCACUCAAUGCCUACAACAUUAUCCAUAGUGGAAGGCUUUGACUAACUCAACGGAGUGACCAAAAUAAAGGACCUACUAGAUGCCGAAAUCGAUUUAUCUAUAGACGAUCUUUGCCAUGCUCCUUCAUGGUCUAUUUAUCUGCACAUGAUACACAAAUGGGUGAGUAUUAUAAUAAUUAGUGAGUGAUGCAGAUAAUCCAAAUCAAAUUAUAUGCAUAUAUACAUCAAACAUAUAAUAACUAUAUUGCACUCUCAGUAUGUCCAUAUAAUCUUUCAAUACAUUUCCAAAUAUAGAGGGAUAUAGUCAUCCCUAGGUUCACCAAAUAUGGGGUUAUGUCAUCCUCCCCAAAGUCAUCAUUAUCAUCACAUAUGGUGGGGCUUACCCUCGAAGCCAACCAAAUCAUUGAAACUAUUCUCCGCAGCACACUUUAGUUGUGAGAGCAUCAAAUGAAAGUCAUACCAUAUGUAUAUCAAGCCUCUCAUGGCUAUCUCACACCAUACACGAAUCAAAUCAACGAGUGGUCCUUUCCUAUACAUAAUCAAAUCACGCUCGGUGGUCAUCCAGUAGAGAAUCAAAUCACACACAAGGCUAAAGCUGUUGAUAAAAAAUAGAUCAUGUUCAACUCUGAAGUAGCUAGCUAAAAGUCAAAGUCAUUGAUUGGAGAAAUCUCUCGACGGUCAGCAUCAGCUGGAGUAUUCUCACAUAGGUGGCAUUACAAUCAUCAUUUGGAGUAAUCUCCCAAUGGAUGGCAUCGUACACUACAGGCGAGAAUUACAAGUGAGAUAUCAAUCACUACCCUUACUUACCAUCAUCCUUGAGGCACGAACAUAGUCAUAGGGCAUCGGACUCCACUCAUCCAUAAAUCAGAUCAACAUUCAGAAUUCAUCUUUUGGAUGGAAACACAAGUCCACAAUUAAGGCCAUCAUGCCUUUAUCAUUCACAUCUUUUGUAUCAAACCUCAAUUCACAUUUAUCGAGCUUUAAUUGUCUUAAGCUCGGUUAGAUUCUAGGUGCCUCUAAGUCUCCAAGGCCUCAUUCAAUCAAAUCGUCUCGACAUAUCAAUCACCUAGGGUAAUCCACUCUUGGGGGUUUAACAUAGCCUACAAGCCUUCUAGUCUAGGCUUACACAACAUAGGCCACCAUGUGGCUCACAUCACAGUGCAAUCACACACAAUUCAAAUAUAUACAUAUACACAUAUAUUGUUCUCUAGCCUAGGUUCAUCCAUUUAGGCUUAUGUACAAAAUCUAGUACUAGUGUAGCGCACUUAUAGUACGUUAUGCAUCACGUGCAUUUAGCUUAAAUCCCACUCAUAGUGACAGUAGAAGGCACUCCCAGCCAAACUCUAAUUCUUUGCCUCUAAUCAUCAUUUACUUGCCAAUGACUUGAUUUAGCUUUGUUUCCCCCUUCAAACACAUCAGAACAUCAAAAGAUUAAUUAUUCUUGGCUUUUGAAAAAUGCCAGCUUUUCACACAAUUAACUAAAUCUUAGCAAUCCAACUAUUGAAGCUCAAAUCCUUCAUUAAUGAGCUAAACCCAUACCUUGGAAGUCGGAUUGCAUGAGUCUUAGCUCUAAAUUCUCUAAUCCAAGCCACAGAGGGAAAAAUACCAAAUUUGGAGAAAACUCAUAUUCGAAGUUAUUAACUGAUUAAAUUGAAAAAUAAUCAGUAAAAACAUUAAAUCAUACCUCCAAAAUGGUUUCCCAAGCUCCAAAUAGCUUCAAAUGGCUUAGAAAUUCAAUUUGGAGGGUUAGAGUUUUAGACGUUUUAAAGAGAGAAAGAGUUAAAAGAAAGAGUUGAGCGAAAUGGCUCAAAAUCCCUUGUUAUUUUUUCCUUUCUUUUUUUUGUAUCAAUAUAUUUUGGCAAUGUACUGAUACAUUUGCCCUAAUUUCGAAUGAAUGUAUCAAUACAUUGCGAAAAUGUGUCGAUACUUUUCCCCUUAGGUGCUUUUUGUUUCAAAUGUAUCGAUAAAUUUGGACAAUGCAUCGAUGUUCAUCUUUAGCCAAAUCUAUCAAUACAUUAUCAAAUGUAUUGACAAAAUAUUUAUCACAACCCAAAACUCCCAUCGAGCCCGUGACAACCAUCGCUAUGUCCCGAUAGACAUUCAUUACUCGGAAUGCCAAUCGAAACCUCGUAAGGCUUAACACCAGUUUUCUCGCUUCCUUUGUGAGUAUUAGUUACUAAAAUCAUGUUUUAAAGUGAUAUGAACCAAUUUCAAUUCAAAAACAGUCAAAGAGAAAUUUCAACUACAUAGGGGUAUUUUGGUCAUUUUUCUCAAAAAUUUUGAAACUAGCUAAAAUGUAGUAUAUGAGAGAAAUUUACACAUUUCAUAACCAAAAAUAAGUUUAGAUAUCUAAAACAUUCAUUUAAAGUGAAAUGAUAGCGAUUAGAAUAAAAUAAAAAUAUUGAAUAAAAUAUUCUAUUUUCUUAUAAAACAAUUUUUAUAGAGAUAUCCGUAAAUAAUUUUUGUAGCGUAAAAGCAAAAUAAAUUUGUACAUACAGUAACACAGAUAGUCAAGGUAUGUAAUUAAAUUUACAAUGACACGUGGGUCCCUUAAAUGACAAAAGUGAACGAAGGCUAUGAACCUACAAUUUUUGAGGAAGUAAAGCCAACUGUAGCCUUUGACGAUAUCAGCUAUCUACAAAUUAUCCUGAGCUUGAAAUGGGUGGAAAAGAGGGUGGUGAGAUUAUAUAAUCCCAGUGAGUAAACAAAUACCAUCUAAAAUAUCUAAAGCUGAGUAAAUGGAGACAGAUAAAAUAGAUUGGCAUAAAAAUGAUUCAUAGCAUUUCGAACUCAUUUUAAUAAGAUAAAAUAGAUUCAUUUCACCCAAAUAAACAACGAGGCUUAUGAUUUCCUGAAAAGCUUGGCUCGUGCCAAAAUCAUUCUCAUACUCAGUUAUCAGGGAUACCUUGGCCUGGGGCUAUCCCAACCGAGUCCGCCAAGGCUGUUAAAAAGUCAUAUACACAUAAAUCAUGUUUUUAUUUUGAAAACAUAGCCGUUCCUUGGCGUUGGCUGAGUUCACCCUCAUGUGGUGGUUUGGCGUGAAGUGAACACUAAAGUUUUACCUCAGGAGUUACCCUACGCGCCUCUCCGAUCGAGGUAAGAUUAUACCCAGAUUUCGUGCCCCUCUAAUAGGCUAGUCCACAGAACCCGCCCACUAUAGUAAGCUAAUCGAUCCUACCAAAUCAAUAAAAUUUCAGCAGCAUAACAUGGCUAAUAUAAAAUUACCAGCCUGUCCAGGCAAAGCAAAACAGUUCAUAUAAUUUCAACACAAUUUCCAAUUCAGCCAUUCAUGCCAAUAUCAUAAGCCAUUCAAUUCAAACCAUGAUUUAUAGCACAACAAAUAGUCUCCAAUUACUCUAUUUUCCAAGCCAUCAUUCAAUUUCAAGAUGAUUUUAUAAAAUCAUUUUGUUUAAUCACAUUUUUCUUAUAAAACAUAAAGAUUUACCAUUUAAACUCAUUUUUCUAUAAAAUCACAAAAACGAAUAAAAACUACUUUAGAUAAUUAAGACGAUAAUAAGGUUACUCACUAUAAUGGAAAUUGAGUUCCGAGUACUUCGAUUUUUGAUCCUCGGGUACUAUUUCUUUACUUUUGCCAGAAAGUUCACCACCUAGACAUAAUGCACAAUCAAACAAUUUACCACAUUGGUGCUAAACCGUUAUAAAACUAUAUGGAUGCAUGAAAUGGAAUGCAAAUUGUUCAGAUUAUUGUCUAAACACGGUGUUAUACACAAAUUCAAUUGUGUACUUAAAUAAAACGGUAUUGGCUUAAUUUAAUCUAUGACUCGAUUAAUUGGCCAAUAUGUCCAAUUCAACUCCAAUUAACUCCAUUUUUCUUCCAAUUCUCCAAACCAUCAAACACAAGUCAAAUAGCAUAAAAUUUAGCACAAUCAUCUUCACAUUUUCUCUUGGGAAUUUCGGCCAUGGUGGGUGCAUCAACACUAUGAUUUUUUCUACUUGAUUUUCUCACCGUAAUUCAUCAUUUCCUAACCAAUUCACUUGAAAUAAAAUCAAAUCCACCAUACACACUCUACAUGGAAGAUUUGGCCAAUGAUGGGUGAUGGGAGGAAUUGAAUUUUUCUUGUUGGCUUUUCAUGCUACACAUCACUAACUAACUAAAAACAUUAAAAUACAUUGAAAUCUAACCAAAUCAAGCAUCAAAACCUCCCUCUAAGUGUUUGGCCAGCAAGGGAUUCAUCAUGAUUCCAUGUGACUCAACCAUGGAAAAUAAGAAAAUAUGCUUAAGAAAGAGAGAUCUCAAGCUUAAAUUGAAAAAUCUUACUUUUUUUCACUUGUUUCCUUGAAUUUUCACACUUUUCCCUUGAAUUUUUCCACCUAGGGUUUUGUUCUUCCUUUUUCUUGCUUCUCCUUGGUGAGGCCGACCAUAAUGAAGAGAAAUGGGCUGGUUUUGUGCUAAUUUAUAAGGAAAAUAAUAAAGAAAUAAAAGCUUGACACUAGUCACCUUACCAUUGGUCCAUUUUUAAAUUCUUAACUAUUAAGCUUUCUUUCUCCACCACAUAAAAUAUUUCAAUUAUCCACAUUAUAAAAUGUUAAUGGAUGAAAUCCAUGGGCAUGACAAGUGUUGGGUGGUGUAAAAUUACAAUUUUGCCCUUGGGCGAUAAAAUGACUAUUUUGCCCCUUAUGCUCGAAAAAAUGCCGAAAUUAAAAUUUUUCACCUCUCAAACUCAAAUUAUGUUCUAAAUGGUCAAUCUUGGUCAAAAACGUCUUCCAACAUUCCAAUUUUAACCUCAAGGGCAAAAUGACUAUUUUACCCUUAGGUCAUGAAAAUUCCAUUUUGACUCCAAAUCAAUUCUCGAACUCCGAAUCACCAUAUUAUAUCAUUUUGGGAAUUUAAAAUUCUCAAUUUCAUCUUAAAAUCUCUAUUUGGUCUAGUUCGAGGCUUAAUUCAACUUAAUUGUACCAUUUGGUACAUUGCCGUCCUUUAACGAUUUUCGAGGUACCCAAGUAAGCAAACAUGCAUUCUUAUGUAGGAAUGGCGUAAUAAACAUAUUGUAGAGCCGGGCUUGACAAUAUUCUUCCCUGGGCCUUUGUUGUUCAUCUUACCAAGAAUCUAUUGAUACAUUAGAGUAUGUAUCGAUAUUGUCUCCUUUGUAGGCAGUUCCAAGCUUACAAAACUUCCAAAAAUUUAGAUUUAACCCCUUAAAAUCAUUCCUUGUUAAUAUCGCACCUCAAAUUGAUCAUUUAACUUAAUCCUAUACACAUAUAAAUCCAUGAACACAACAUCAAACUUAGAUCAAAACCUCAAAUUAUGGGAUUCAUCACAAAUUUCCUCAAAUUUGCUUAAGUGCCAAUAUGUACACGUUUGAGCACUAGGCAUACAUAUCCUGUCAUCAAAGUCCUUAGGACUCCACAUAUUUUAUAAAUCAUUCUUAGUUUACAUCAAAAAUUAGGGGUUCUACAAUUGCCCUAGUUGAUGAUUAUGUUGCCAUCCGUGGAGAAUACUCUAAGUGAUGUUGUCCGUUGGGAUAUUACCCUGGACGAGGAUCGUAAUGUCAUUUGUGGAUAAAUUGCUCUGGACGAUGACUUUGAUAUUUCGCCACAUGUUUUGGCAUUGGGCAUGAUUUGUUUUUUUGUCGGUUGGCUACCGUGCAUGAUUUGUUGAUGUAUAAGGGAGAACCACUCAAAUAUUAUGUUUUGAUUCAUGUGUGAUAUGAUAUAGCCUUGAUUAGGCUAAGUGGAAUUUAAUAUGAAACUCUGGCAACUAAAGUGUGCUAUGGAGCAUGACUUAUAUGACUUCAAAAAUAAGCCUAGUGUUAUAUAUGACGUACUUUGGAGACAUUAGAGAUGAUGAAAUACCCCUCAUGGGAGACCUUACGGAGGAUGGUAUACCCCUAUGGUUGAAGAUGGUUGUUAGAGCAUUUGGUUGCACAAAGAGUGCAAUAUUUUAUAUAUGCUUAUAUAUAUAUGUGUGCGUGUGUAUGACUUUAUUAUGUGCACAACUCGCCGAGUAUCAAAGUACUCACCCACUUUGUACCAUGUGCAGAUAAAUAGGCCACUGGACAAAGCAUGGCAAGGGUCAUUUAUUGAUAGACUGAUUUUGGCAUCCGAUAAGUUCACCGUCUUCUUCACUCCGCUAGGUAAGGUCUAUAUUAGCUUAUGCACCUGAAAUGUUAAGUUUAGAAACUAUUGUACUUUGAAUAUUGUAGGCACUAAGCGCCAUGUGAUAUUGGGUAUUAAACGUUGUUACGUAUGAACCCAUCUUAAACAGUCAAUGUAUGACCCUAUGAUGAAUGUUUGGAUUGUGCCAAGGAUGGUGUGAUGUGUUGAAUUUAAAUUUUAUUGAUAAAUAUGAUGUAUAGCAUCCCUUGGCUAUGUGUUAUAUGGUUUUGAAUAUUGAGGCUUGCUCGGGUCUAGUGGGCUUGCUUGUUGGGCUCAUGCACCUGUCAUGGCCCCCAGGUUUGGGUCAUGAUACAUUGGGGCAUAGGGGCAUCCCUUGAUGGUUAGGUAGAAACAUACCUUUAUAGUGAGGUAGCCCAACAAUCCGUUGACUACUCACCCCGUAUAAAGAGUUAAUGAAAUUUUACAAGUAUAUCACCAAGAACUGUUACAAGGCGUAAGAUGGGGACAUUCUUUCCCUAAAGUGUCAUCCCCCUAAAGACUUACCAAACAUUUCUAAAUAUCCCACCAAGUGCCAUAACAAUGUUUAAAAUGGGGACAUCUCAUUUGAGGGUAUAUUACUUGUUCGAUACACAUAUUUGCGUGUACUAAACCUAUAACAAAUUUUUGAUGCCGUUGCUGAGUAUUUUCAUUCUUUAUUUUUACUAAUAUUAAUAUCGAACAAAUUAUUCUUAAUUCAAGCUUUUCUUCUAUUAUUUUUUAGGUGCUUUUGGUCAGUGUAUGAGAAGAAGUUAGAGAUUAUUUAUUGUGAUCAUGAGAUUGAGAGGACAUUUAAAAGAUGUUGUAGGAAAAAUCAACAGAAUUCUACUCAUAUUGAUUCAAUGGUCGAACAAUAAAGAGAGCAGCAAGUUCAAGAGCAAGCAAUUGAAGAAAAUCGGUUGUUAAGAGAUUAUGUUGUUCUGUUAGCACAAAAGCUUUACUCAAGCAUUAAAAGGCAAACUAUUCAAGCCAACGGUUUCGAGAUCAAGCCAGCAAUCAUCUAAAUGCUCUAGACUUCAAUUCAAUUUUGGGGUUUACCGAAUGAUGAUCCAAAUGCCCACAUUUCUAUUUUCCUAGAGAUUUUCGAUACUUUUAAGCAAACAGAGUGACUGAUGAUGCCAUCAGGCUAAGACUUUUCUCUUUCCCAUUGUAGGAUAAGGUGAAGAUAUGGUUAAACUCACUUCCUACGGGCUCUAUUACAACUUGGGAUGACUUUGCUCAGAGGUUCUUAGCCAAGUUUUUUCCCCUAACCAAGAUAGCGAAAAUGAGAAAUGAUAUUACAUCUUUGGCAUAGUUUGAUUAUGAGUUGUUGUAUAAAGUUUAGGAGAGAUACAAGGACUUACUUAGGUGUUGUGAGACCUCGACCCCUAUAGGCCCGCAACUAGGUGUGGACGCGAUAACCUAGGCCAAAGGUAAUUUCAUCAUUUCUUUAGUGAGCCCCUAAAAGUAUGCUUUCAAACAUUAUUAAGGCCUAAGUAGGCCUAAGGCAUAAAUGAAUGAUGAAAAUAAGGAUAAAUGACAAAGAAAAUAAAAAUAAUGAUGAUUUCCAAAGAAGAGGCAAAAUGGUCAUUUUUCAUCUCGGGUCAAAAUUUUUAAGUUUUCGUGAACCCGAGUAUUUUUAGACUAUUAAUGACCUUGUCCCAGUGUCAAAAGAGUAAAAAGAUUGCACAAAGGAUUGAAGGAGAACCAACCAACUGGUUAAGGACAUUUUUAUAAUUUAAGUGGCGUUGGAUAAGCUAGAGCUAUAAAUAUCAUCUUCCAACAACUUCUUCUCACAUUUCCAGCAGCUUCUUCUUCUUCUUCUUUCUCCCCUCUCACGUUUCUUCAUCCUUCAUGGGACUUUUCUUCAAGCUUCCAUAACUCUCUCAAGUUAGUCUCAAAUUUCAUGCUUUUCUGCACCUUUUCACAAGCCCUUUGUGCUCUUUUACUCUUUCACCUUAAAAACCCUCCAAAGUCUUAAACCAAUAUUUUUUUCUCACUAGCUAGGUGGUUUAGAGAGAGAAUGAAAGACUAUCUAUAAUAGUUUGGGAAUUCUUAAGGAGGAAUCCAAUUACAAAUCUAGCAAGGUGAAUGUUGAAAUUGAAUUGAUAUUUUAGUUGUUGAUAAUGUCUAGUAAUUUGAUUUGUGAGUGUUUUAUUCUUGAGAUUGUUUAAUCAUUUUUGUGUGACUAAAGUAGUGCAAAUAGUAGCCAUUUAAUUGUAGUUGGAAGAUAGUAGGAAUGACUAGUAGAACUCAAUUUAGAAAAUAGCUUUGGAAUAGUAUUAAUGCCAAGUUGGGUUGAUGGUGAUGAUGCUAAUGUGAUAACAGGUUCCAACGAGGCCCCACCACCCCAUUUGCACCAUUAGAGGAAGUUAGAGUUGAGUAGACAUUUAAUGAAUACUAGUGAGUGAACUUGCAUUUCAAAAUUUCUUUGGGAAAUGUAGAUGUAUUUGGGUGAAACAUUUGAAUGAUUUCAUCCAACCUUUAAAAAUGUGUGCCGGGAACAAGCCCUUGAUAAAAAUGUUUUUUAGUGAUUUUGUGAAAUGUGAAAUGUGUAUAAGGAUGAAUCCAUGUGCUACUAUAUUAUGUUGGUAUGUAUAUAUAUAUGAAUAUGUGUUGUGCAUUGAUGAAUGAUGUUGGGUGAUGAUGUUGAAGUGUGCGAGUAGGGAGUGCACAGAUGAUGAUGUUAGAGUGUGUGAGUAGGGAGUGCACACAUGACGAUGUUGAGGUGUGCAAGUAGGGAGUGCACACGUGAUGAUGAUAUUGCAUUGAGCUGAGUGUGGUGGGAUGGUAUGCUUGAUGAUGUAUGUAUAUAUAUAAAUAUGUGUGUCAUAUAAAGUUCAUGAGCAUGGUAUAUGGUUGCAAUACAUGUGAAAUCUUUCAUGUUGAAUUUUAGAAAUUUUUAAGCAUUUUCAAGUUGAUCUUGUCUUUGCAGCAAAAUGGCCUUUUCUUGAGAGAAUGAAAACUUGUUGUUGGUGUCCUGUCUCUCGCUGUAGCGAAAAACUCUCGGGUUUAGGGAAGUUGCACUAGCCUGGUUCUCGCUGCAGCAAGAAAAUAUCUGAAGCUAAACUUUUUGUCUUGUUUACCUUUUUGUUUGGUUGCUGCUCUAUUUUCCAUUUCUUUAGCACCAUAGUUGAUCAUGGACUUCCAACAUCAAGGAAUUAAUUAAUUACGUUUGAAAUGAGGGGUUUUGGUGAUAAACCCUUAGCCAGUUGAGAAACCCUCGGUCAGCCUAUACUUUGAGCCAAAUUUUGCUGCAUCUGUCAGCGAGAAUGCCCUUCCGCUACAACGAGGACUCGUCGUUUCACUUGACUUGCUUGAAUGUUAUUAACGUUUUUACUCUUCAAAUCAUUUGUUAUGCAUGGGUCCUUUAUCGUUAAGUGAUUAAAUCAUUAACGGUUUAAUGAGGGGUUUUAAUAAGAAUUUAACUAAGUUGCAUUGUUUUUGAAAAUAAGUGCAUUAUGAUUUCUUAACUUCUCUUAUCGAUUGCUUGUUCCCUUCCUUUGUUCACUCACUAGGUUUAUACUCACCAUUUUCAACCUCAUGUUUUCAGAUAAGGAGGCAGCCGGUAAUUAGGGCGAGGUGUCCUUGCAAAUUCGUUUCCUUGGUAGGUAUCUCGGCAUUCAAUAGCUGAACUUUGGCCGAGUUCUCUGCUAGAAGUCAAGUAUCCCUUUUUGUUGUGUAUUGACAAACUCGAUGUAAAUUAUUAAGAUAUACGUUUUAGACAAUAUAUGUAUAUUUGAUUGGAAAUGCCACUACGAGAUGGCAAUGGUUAGCAUUAUUUUGAAUUGAAAUUAUGAAAGGUGACUUUGAUAACUUAUGAUGGAAUGAUGGACAAGUUAUAUAAAUAGGCUUGCUUGGGCUUAAUGGGCUACGUCAAUUGGGCUCAUGCACCGGUCAUGGCCCAAAAUUUGGUGUAAUACCCCGCACCCUCGUUGGACACAAAUAAGACCUUAUUUAUCAAACGAAUGAUCAUUUGAUGUGAAUUUGCGUGCUAAAGAGGGACAAAGGAUGAAAGGAACGUUCUAGAAUAAAAUGCUUCGCGUGUGCAGAAACAAUAAUUAAAUAAUAAUAUUUUCGUUGGAGAGGAAUUAGCAAGUUAAAGGAUGAUUCGAAAGUAAAUCGAGAUGUAAUGAUGUGUUUCGGGACCAAAGGAGGCAAGUGAAAAUUUUUGAAAUAAAAUAAUAUUUUAUUUAAUAAAAUAAUAAAAUAAUAUUAAUAUUUUAUAUGUUGUCGGAAUUAGUCAUGAAAAAUGGAAUAUGACUAAUUUAAGUGGGGGAGAAGAAGUAAAGAAGAAUUUUGAAGGAAAAUGAUGAUAAUUGUGUCAGAGUGAUUUUAUUAAAUCGAGUUAACACGGGUAAGUAAAUAUUUAAAUAUUAUGGUGACACUGCGUUGAAAUGCGAUCUCGAUAUUUUGAUUAUACACGUAUAAGAAAAGGAAGAUAGAAGGAAAUUAGAAUUUUUACACGUGUCCGAAGAAUUAAUUUUAAAAUAUAAAAAUUUGAGGGAGGCGUGUUAAAUAAAAUGAAGUUAAGGCAUAUUAUGUAAAUUUUAUUGUUUUGAAGAAAUAAAAAUAAAAUGAAAAUAAAAUGGAUGAUAAAAUAAUGAAGAAAAGAUGUUGAAAAGUGAAACCAAAGAAUUCUAAUGUGAAUGGCCGGCCAUACAAAAAUCAAAGGAAGAAAGGCAAAAGAAAAAACAAUGAAAACAAAAGAGAAGAAUGUAGAAAUGAUGGUGGGGCAGGCCAUGUGAGAUGAAAGAAAUGAUAAAAGAUAAAAAGGAGAGGAAGUCAGUUGAGAGUGGGAGAAGAGAAAAAAAAGGAAAGAAAGAAUCGUGGGAGAGGAAGAGAAAAGAGAACGGAUUUGCUGCACUUUGAGGAAGGAAAAAUAGAGCUUUUGCUGUAAUUUUUGGAGGAAGAAGAAAGCUGAAAAUUUACGAGGUAAGAAGCUGAUUUUUGCUGCACUUUGAGAGAGAAAAUUUGGUGUUUUUUAGAGGGAUUUUGGUGCAAAAAAUUCAAGGUUUUUGCUGCUAAAUUUUGAGGUUAUGUUGCUAGAAAAUUUUGGAGGUUUUUGCUACCAUUGAAGGACAACUUUGGCUGCUGAAAAUUAGAACUGUUUGCUGCCAAUUUGUGCAAAAAAAUUAGAACUGUUUGCUGGUAGUUUGUGCAGGAAAAUUUGACAGCUUUGUGCUGCCAAAAUUUAGAAGUUUUGUUGCUGAAAAUUUGAGUUGGAAAUCUGCUGAUUUUGGAGCAAAAAAUGGUAGCAAAAAGGGUGAGAAAAUAAGGCUUUUGGUGAUCGAUUUUAAGAGGAAAAGAAGAGAGGAAGCCACGGUGGNNNNNNNNNNNNNNNNNNNNNNNNNNNNNNNNNNNNNNNNNNNNNNNNNNNNNNNNNNNNNNNNNNNNNNNNNNNNNNNNNNNNNNNNNNNNNNNNNNNNNNNNNNNNNNNNNNNNNNNNNNNNNNNNNNNNNNNNNNNNNNNNNNNNNNNNNNNNNNNNNNNNNNNNNNNNNNNNNNNNNNNNNNNNNNNNNNNNNNNNNNNNNNNNNNNNNNNNNNNNNNNNNNNNNNNNNNNNNNNNNNNNNNNNNNNNNNNNNNNNNNNNNNNNNNNNNNNNNNNNNNNNNNNNNNNNNNNNNNNNNNNNNNNNNNNNNNNNNNNNNNNNNNNNNNNNNNNNNNNNNNNNNNNNNNNNNNNNNNNNNNNNNNNNNNNNNNNNNNNNNNNNNNNNNNNNNNNNNNNNNNNNNNNNNNNNNNNNNNNNNNNNNNNNNNNNNNNNNNNNNNNNNNNNNNNNNNNNNNNNNNNNNNNNNNNNNNNNNNNNNNNNNNNNNNNNNNNNNNNNNNNNNNNAUCAAAGGAAAUUGUGCCUUAUUGUUUGUGUGGUGUGCAUUCAUGAAAUUUAUUACAUAUUCACCAUGCUAUUUUGAUACAAAAUAUCAUGCAAAUAUUUACAAUGAACAUUUUACGAAAAGAGAGUUUUAACGUGAUGUGGGGACCGAUAUUUUGAGAAAGAUUUAAAAUAUCCUCUUGAAGAUCAAAUUUGAAUUCUUUUAAAAGGAGAUUUCAUUUUAACCAAGAAAUUCAAAAGUAAUUGGAGACUAUUACUUGUUGUGUUAUAAAUCAAGGUUUGAAUUGAAUGGCUUAUGAUAAUAUUGGCAUGAAUGGUUGAAUUGGUAAAUGUGCUGAAAAUGUAUGAACUGUUGAUUUGCCUUGAAAGGCUGUAAAAUAAAAUAAUUGCCAUGUCAUGCUGUUGAAUUUUAUUGAAUUGGUGGGUUAUAAUUGGUCGGUAUAGUGGACGAGUUCCGUGGACCAGCCUAUUAGAGGGGCACGGUAGCCUUAUUAUAUUCAUACCUCAGUAUGAGAGGCGCGGUUGGAUAACUCCUGAGGUUAAAACUUUAGAGUUCACUUCAUGCCAAACCACCACGUGAGGGUGAACUCAGCCAACGCCAAGGAAUGACUAUGUUUUCAAAAUAAAAAUAUGAUUUAUGCGUACAUGACUUUUUAACAGCCUUGGCAGACUCGGUUGGGAUAGCCCUAGGCCAAGGUAUCCUUGACAACCGAGUAUGAGAAUGAUUUUGGCUCAAGCUAGGUUUCUAAGAAAGUCAUAAGCCAUGUUGUUUGUUUUUGACAAAAAUGUAAUGGUUUUAUAUGAGUUGAAAUAAGUUUUAAUAUUCUGAAUUAUAUUUCUCUGCAUGCUGAAAAUGGAAUUAAAUGGUUUUUCGCAACUCCCCUAUAUGUUUAUCUGUGAAAUGAAUAUGUAAUUCCUCGCAUAUGGGGAGAGUUAUGAUUUGUGCAUGAUUUUAAAUAUUACUUGGUUUCGUGGGAGCUUGCUAAAUUUUAUUGAUUUGAUUUGAAAAUGAUUAUUAAUAUAUUUUGAUGUGAAAAAUUUUAUUACCUCGAUUAUUUAUACUUUAUAAGAAAUUCUCGAUUUUUAUAUAAGGCACAAACCCUCGUUUGAAACGAGUUGCUUUUAUAAUCUUGCAUUUUUAUAUUCAACUGAUCUGCCAUUUGCUUGUUUCCCAUCUACGCCCUACUCGCUGAGUCGAUGAUUAUCACUGAGUCUAUGAGACUCACACCCUUUUAUUUCCCUUUUUGCAGAUGGGGAUCAGCCUAGCGUGUAGUUAGUGACGCGUUCGAUCCAUCGUGAAUAGGUAAAGGCAUCUCCUAUCAAUUUAUUUCGAGUCGCUCCACUAUUAGAGGUCAAGUUGUAGCAUUUUAUUUAUUAAGUUGUAAACAAAUUCUAAAUUUUUAUAUAGGCAUUAAUUUGGAGAUUAUAGAUUUUAAUGCAUAUACUUAUGAAUAAAAGGAAAAAAAUUUGUAUUGAUUUUUAUAUUUAUGGUUCAAUUUAGUAUAUGAAAGUAUCAAUAUUAAAUGGUGAUUGAAUGUAGUGAAUUAAAGAGUAAAUUCUAGACAGACUUGUUCGAGACUUGGCGGGUCUUUUUCGAAAGUUGUGGAUGCCGACAGCGACCGGGGAGAGGUCAUUGCAUUAGAGUGGUAUCAGAGCUUUUGGUUUUAAAAAUCAGAGCUUUUGAUUUUAAAGAUCAAAGCUUUUGAUUUUAAAGAUUAGAGCUUUUGGGUUUAAAGUUGUUUUAAAGUUGUUUUAAAAACUACAGAGUCAAUGUGGCCCAAGUUAAGUUAAGUCAAGUUAGGUUUGAUAGAAUAGAAUACGUGCAUCUGCAUAUAGAAUUUGGAGUUGUUUAGACUCAUUCUAUUUCUUCUUAUAGAUCUUAUGGGAGCAUAAGUCAUAGACAGGGAGCUAUAUGAACUCUUGUUCCUAAUAAUCCACUUCCUUGUUAAUGUCAUGCAAAGGUCAUAAGUAGGGUCGUUGUCCAGAUUUAAGAUGCCACCCGUGACACGAGCCAGUGUUAGAGAGAUCUUAAAACGAAUGCUCCUAAUGAAAGAUUAAUGAGAUGAUAUAUCCUUCUGAUUAAGGAUGGAGAAAUUUGGAGUUAGACUAAUAGGCCGUGAUAAUUUAUUCAUUUGGUGGAGUUAUAAUUGAACUCAUGGUUGUUAAUUGGAAAAAGAUUUGGGGACUAUGAAUUGUAUUGGAGUUAAUAUAAAGAAGCACAUGUGAUAAUGGUAAUAAGGGGCGCACUUUGAUUAGAAUGAAUAGUGAUGGUUGUAAUUCACUUGGAGUGUAUAAAUUAAGCAUUGAGGUAAGAGUAAACCCAUACUUAUAUGCAUGAAGAUAAGAACACUAUGUUAAUUGAGCUUGUUAUGCCCAUAUAAAAGUGGUGUUGGGAUUUUGAAAUAUUUUAUAUGUGAAUAUGUGUUGAAUAGGUACAGCAGCUUAGAGGGAACUGGUGUUGAUUUCAAUUAAGCGAUUGUGAGAUUUCAAGAAUUGAUUGGACCUAUUAUAGUUCAUGGAUAUAAGCACGUGAAUUAACUCGAGAGUGAGUAUCAAUGAUUACUAUAAUUGAUGUGUGGUCAUGAAGUAAGAAGUUAGUAAACAAAUCUGCUCUAAGGAUGAGCUUGAACUUUGCUAUGCAUAGCAGGGGGAGCCAAGGGAUUAAAGGACUAGAUGUGGAAUUGGCAGCUUGAGGUUAAAUGACUUGGAAAUGUCGAAUCUAGUCUAAGUGCCAUAUGAAGUUCUAUAAUUGAGACUGAUAUACGAAUUACUUGAAAGAUCAAUUUAAAAGUUUAUUCGGUUCAAAGUGUGGCCUAUGAUACGAAUGAUUAGUCUUGAAGGUGAUCUCCCCAGAGUAAGGAAUUUAGAAAAUGUUGAUGUUUGGAUAUACUCUAAGAGAGAGAACUUCUGCAUCCUAAGUUUAGGACAACUUUGAUCUUAUGAUCGCAAAGGCAAGGUGUAAUAACUAAGUAAAUUAUUCACUUAAUAAAUGUGAUUGGUUAUUGAUGAAUAAAGUCAAGAUCUUAACAUUUAGUGGUAUACAAUUUGAUAAUUAUGUAUUUAAGAGUUAUUUGGAGACAAUUCCUUCAUCAAAUUUGCACUAAAUGCUAUGGUAAAGGCAUAUCAAUGUUAAUAUGAAAAUGUAUCCAGGAAUGAUCUUAACAUACCACCAAAGGAGAAUUAAACAUGUUGAAAUUAAUGUUCUAAUAGUGUGCAUAUGAUAGAAAGCUAGUUUGUAAGUUGUAGUUUUCAUGAUCAUGAAAUAUAUAAAGAUUAUCAAUCUAUGGACAUACACUUGGAGGUGUAAUUUACAAGUUUGGAGUAUUUAAGAUAUGAUUAAAUGGAAUUAGCAUUAGUUAAGGUACGUAAAUCUUUUAAUUAAUUUCUGUGGAGUAUGCAUGAUAGUACAAUGGAGGAACAUAGUGCCGUAAUACUAUAUGGUGAAGUUACUAUACAAUAUGGAAAGACUAUUCUAAAGUGCGAUUUAUUGAUUGUUGACAAGUGUUAUAGAAUGAGAUGAAUUUGAAAAUAUCGACUUUACCUAUUAUAUGUGAUAAGCAUAAGAGGAUAUAAAUGGUUGUGAAAAUUGUGACGUAAGAUUUAAGGGAAACCAAACGGUUGAGAAUGAUUAGUGUAGUAACCUUAAAUAUAGAUGAAUAACAUUGAUUAAGUAAACUCCAACAGCCACCGUGCCGUGGUGCUAAGAACACUUCAUGUCUAGGACGCAUGAAUAAAAUGAGACAUAUGUGAAGUUGAACUUACGAGUUGACCUAAAGUCAUUGAACUUGAUUCUAAGUUUUGUUAGCUGGAGUUUUAAGUUUUUGGAAGGUAUCGAUAUGAAUGAGUUAAAGGCGUUCCCUUCGGGGGGAGGGGGGAGCAAAAACUCUAGGAUUCAAAACUUGGCGAGAAGGCCCUGCAGGGCCUGUAGUGCCACCCUUAGGCUCGGGGUUCCGAGUAAGUCAAGUGAUGGGGAUCUAGACAUAACAAUACCUUGGAGUGGGCCCUGAAAAGGAUGCCACAUAAAUGGCUAAGUUACGGGUUAAGUGAUCACAUGUUGUGAGACAUAAAUUUAAGAUAGAUAUCCCCAAGAAAAUACUCAAGAGAGGUUCUGCCAUGGAUCUCGUGAAAGCAAGCACUAAGUUAUGUGACCAUAAAAAGGAAGGCAUAGGCUGAGAGUGAUACUUGUAUUAAUAUUGAAAAGUACUUGCGGAAAAUCUAGUUUCAAGUUUUAUAAUUUCAAGUACAAUUUGUAAAUUGGUUAAGGAAGAAUGAUGUUAUGUUCAUAUGAAAGAGUGGAACAAAGGAUGAUUGAAGUUGACCUUGAUAAUGAAGUCAGAUAAUGAAACUUUCCUAAUAUAUUAUGGAAAUUGGAAUUUGAAAAUGCUUGAGUCAUGCAUGAUUCAAAUGAGUCUGAGUCUUAAGUGACAAAUCAAUAUCAGAAUACAAUAAGGAUACAAUAUAUUUAAGAGGCAUGAAAGAUAAUCGAGGAAUAAGGAUGACUCUUAGGAAUUGUGGUAUUGCUUAAGAUGCAAUGAUCAAGUUAAGAUAAAUCUUUGAAGUAUCAAUGGGAUUAUAAAGCAUACACGCAUAAUAGAUUAUAAUUCAAUGGAGAUGACAUUGUGAUGCAAUUAUAUAUAGUAUAAGGAAACUUAAGCAUAUAAUUGGGAAUGAUCAUAAGAAAGUAUAAGUAUGUAAAUGAUGUAGAACUAUGCACAGACAUGAUGAGAAUUUGUAUGAAUUAUGAAGAUUAUUCUAUUGAAUCUUGGUUUUGGAUGGAAUGAACAAAGAGAAAUUAGUCUAAAGGUAUUUGAAAAUAGAGACCCGUAUACAUAAUGAGGAAUAUGGACAUUUGAAUGUGUGUGUAUACGUGUGUGUGGAGUUAGUGGUGUACCCAAGUAAAAUGAAGAAUGGUUUUAGUGGUUCGAGAUUUGAACUCAAUCUAUUUAAUGAGUUGUAUAGAUAAUGUAACGAUCAAGAAUCUUAUCAGAAGUCGAUUUAUGAUGACCUAAGGAAUUUUGGGGAAAUAGUUAAGGGAAUGUAACCUUUAGCUCGCGACUCCACCUAGCUAGCUUCGUCCUCUCCUUCAAUAACCGCCUCAUCUGAUCGGGAGGUUAGCGGAUCAGGAGGUAGAGGUGCUGUUACUUCCUCUCAGGGCAGGCCUUCUGGGUCGGGACGUUAGAGUUUCGUCGGUAGAGGCCAAGCGAGGGUAUAUGCUUUAACACCCCAGGAGGCCCAAACAUCUAAUGCAAUCGUCUCAGGUACUCUUUCUGUGUGUAAUAUGGAUGCUCGAGUAUUGUUUGAUCCUGGUGUUACCCAUUCUUUUAUUUCUCCACGUUUUGCACUUCAUUUGGGUAAGGAUCGUGUUAGGAGAGAAGAACAAUUAGUGGUGUCUACUCCUUUAAAGAAGGUAUUUGUGGCUGAAUGGGAAUAUGAGUGUCACGACCCAAUACUCUCCUCGAGCCCGUGACAACCGUCGCGUUGUCCCGAUUGACACUUAUUACCCGGAAUGUCAAUCGGAACCCCGUAAGGCUUUAGUAUCAAUUUUCGCACCUCCCCAGUGAGCAACAGUUGUUAAGUAUCAUGUUUUGAGAGAUUAUAAACUAUUUCCAAAUCAAAACAAUAGAAAAAUAAUUUUUCGCUCACAGGGGCAUUUUGGUCAUUUUUUCUCGAAAGUCUCGAAACCUACUAAAAAUGUAGUAUGCGAGUGGAAAACACAUAUUUCAUAAUAAAAAAUAAGUUUAGAUAUCUAAAACAUUCAUUUAAAGUGCCUCACAUGUCCAUUUGGAGUAUUAGUUGAGGUUAGAGUCAAGCAAAAGAAUCAACAAGACCAGUGAGUGAACUUGCAUUUCAAAACUAUUUUGGGAAUGUGAAACUAUUUGCACAAAACAUUGAUUGAUUUUAUCCAACUUUUCUUAAAAACGUGUGCCUUGGGAUCAAGCCCUUGAUAAAUUGUCUCUAUGUUGUGACAUGUGGUUGUUAUGGAUUCAUGCACUACUACAUUAUGUUUAUAUAUAUACAUAUAUAUAUAUGUUGCGCAUUGAUAGUUAAUAUUGUGUGAUAAUUAUAACCGUGCGUGUGCACGAUAUGGGGGGAUGCACAUGCCGGUGAUGACUGUGGUGUGGGAGAUGGAUGAUGAUAGUGCAUGUGUGCACGAUGUAGGGGGAUGUACACGAUGGCACUGGCUGUGCACAAUGUGGGGGGAUGCACACGAUGACUCUGGCUAUGUGCACGAUGUGGGGGGAUGCACAUGAGCUGGGUGAGAUGAUGUUGGUAUUAGUGUUUAUUUAUGUAUAUAAGUAUAUAUAUGUUUGUGAAAUAAAAGUUCAUGAAUAUGGUAUAUGGUUGUAAUGCAUGUGAAAUUUGGCAUGAUGAAUCUUGCAAAUUGAUUUUUAAUGCAACACCGAAUGGGUUUUUAGUGCAAAUGAGGUCCUUUUUACACUUAGGUGCCUUGCUUCUCGCUGCAGCGAGAAACAAUCUGUUUUGGCAGCCAACAGCUCGCUGCAGCGAGAAACUCUUGGGUUCUAAUGCAGUGCUUUCACUUAGAUGAAGAUUUUUACCACCUUCCUUUCUAAACUGGAAAAAGUAAUAAACACAAAAAUUGUAUCUCUGUCUCUUAGCUUUUUAAUGGUCUAAAUAUCAGGUCAAUUGACCUUAUGUAGCGGGAGAUAUUAUAGAAAAACUGAAACACAUGCAAACUAAUACUAUUUCUCGUUGCAACGAGAAACUUUUUGUUUUGGAUGCCUGAAUCUCGCUGUAGUGAGAAACUUGCUGCCAUAAUUGCUACCUUGCUUGAUUUUGACAUAUUUUUCACCCAUUUAACUUCAUGGAUUGAUCUUGGGUUUUUGCAAUACUAUGAGGUUACUAAUCAAAGUUUGAAAUGAGGGGUUUUUAGUAAGAAACUAAAUCAAUUGCAUUGUUUUUGAAACAAGUGCAUCAUGAUUUCCAAAUUCUUCCUAUUGAUUGCUUGUUCCCUUCUUAUGUUCACUCAUUGAGUUUUAUACUCACGUUUUUAAAAUUCAUGUUUUCAGAUUUGGAGGUAGUUGGGACCUAGAUUGAGUCACACACAUAUGCUCGCCUUCUUGGUAGGUACUAUGGCAUCUCAAUAGUUGUACCUUUACCCACAGUCACUCCACUGACGGUCAAAAGUUUUAUGCUUGUGUACAUGUAUAAGUAAUGAAGACCACUAAGAUUCAUGUUAAAAAUAAAAAUAUGUAUAUUUCAUUACUGAUGCCACUGUAAGGUGGCAAAUGAGUGAUACUAUGUUAGCAUGAUACAAAUGUGAAUAUUAGAUUGCCAUAAAACGUUACUGAAAUAUUUGAAAUUGAGAAUUGAAAUAUGUGAUUUUAAAAAUGACGGUUGAGAAUGAUGAUUGGGAUUGCGUAAAAAGGCUUGCUUGGGCUUAGUGGGCUAUGCCCAUUGGGCCCAUGAGUCUGUCAUGGCCCGAAAUUUGGGCUGUGACAAUGAAUGUAUAAGAUAUUGAUAAGGGAUGCCAAUACCAAGUGAUGAAAGUGUGAAUGAAGGAUUACAAAAGUGGUAUAGCAAAUGAGUUUAUAUGGAAUAUUGCUAAGAGAAUUUGCAAUUCCUAUCUUGACUCAAUUGAAUGAAAAGGAUUAGUAAUAACACAAGGCUGAUUACGUGGCAUGCUAGAAGCCCUUGGAGAUAAAUUGAAGUAUGAAUAGUUAAGCAUGCAUUUAAAUAUCUUGGUGAAUAAGUGCAUGCCUUUUUGGAAUGAUAUGCUCUGAAUGUUAAAGAGCAAAUAAGUGAUUAAGUGUUUUAGGGAUGCAUGAACAUCCUUGAGAAGGAAUUACCAAUCAUAAACGACCAGUAUGUGUGAUUUUGAAACUUGCUAAGGAGCCUAAUGGCUAAACCACGGGUUAUGUGAUCAUAUGCAGUGAGACAUAAGUUAAAGGUAGGCAUCUAUAAGGAAAUACUCAAGAGUAAUCCUGCUAUGAAUCUUAUGGAAACAAGCAUUAAGUUAUGUGGUUACAAAAAGGAAGCCGUAAGCUGAAAGUGAUACUCACAUUGAUAUUAAGAAGCACUUGAGAAGAACCUUGUUUCUAGUCUUGAAAUUUCAAGUACAAGUUGUGAAUUAAUUAAGGGAGAAUGACGUUUUAUCAGUAUAAGAAAAUAGUACAAGGGAUGGUUGAAGGUAACCUUGAUAAUGAAGUUGCAUAAUGGAAACCUCCUAAUGUAUUAUGGAAUUGGAAUUUGGAAACGCAUGAGGCAUGCAUGAUUCAAAUAAGUCCAAGUAUUAAGUGACUAAUUAAUAUCAAAAUGCAAUAAAGAUAUAGUAUAUAUGUUAGAGGCAUGAAAGAUAAUUGAGAAACAAGGAUGACUUGGAGGGAUUCUGAUAUUGCAUAAGAUGCAGUGAUCAAUUAAAGAUGAAUCUUUAAAGGAUUAAUGAAAUUAUAAAGCAUAUACAGAUACUGAAUUGCAAUUUAAUGAAAAUGACAGUUGGCAAGUGAAAUGUGACUAAUGACAUUGUGAUGCAAGGAUAUAUAGUAUAAUGAUACUUAGGCAUAUAAUUGGAAAGGAUAAGAAAAUGUUGGCUCCAUUAGUUUUUGAUGAUAAUAAAACAUUCCAAUUCAUUUGUGUCUAAUAUCUCUACUUAAGUGUGCAGGACAAAAAUUGUAUGCAAAUAAUAAAUCAAUCCAUCAAAAGUGUAUAUCAAAAAUCACAUGAAUGAGGAAAAAUGAUUGAUCAACAAAAAGGAAGGUCCUUCGUUGAAUAAUGAAGAGUAUUGGUUGGCUAAAAUUAAAAUUGGAGAAAUGGCGGGCUGAAGAAUAUCAAGAAACAGAACUGACUUAGUCGACCAAGAAAUAAGUAAGUUGACUAAGUGCUUUCUGCCAAAAACUGAGACCAGAAGACAGAACCAAUUUAAUCAACUAAGAAGGAAGUUAGUUAACAAAGAGCUCUCUGUCUGCAAUUUCAACUUGAGCACUAGAAGAUAGAUUAAUGGCUAGAACCAUUUCUCAACUAUUUUUAACGACCAUAAACUGUCAAACUGCUAUCAGAGUUGUUUCUCCAAGUAUAAAAGGGUCUUCCAACGGUUAGAAAACAUAUAGAGAAAAAAGAAGGCUUCAAAGAACAUAAAAAGAGCUGAAAAACUAGAAAACACUUACUGCUCAUUUACUGCACUCAACUCCCAUCUUUGUAAUUGUGAUCUGCACUUUACUUGUACCACUUAGAUCAACCGUGUGAUCAUAGGUACACUCUCAUUACUUCUCUCUUUGUAUUCUUAAAGUGAGCGAGUCACUCUAAGGGAUUGAUUCAAGUUAGGAUUGCUUGAUUGGGUAUAGGUUCUAACUUAGCCUUGAAAAGUUAAGUCUUGGGUUUUAGUUAAUCCCAGUAAAAACUAUUGUGAAAGGUUUUGGCUAAGCCUGGUAAAAGCCAUUGUAAAGCUUGGUGAAAGCUUGUGAAUUUCACCUUUUCUAGUGGAUUGAUUUGGAAAAUCCUUGGUUGAAUAAUCAAGGUAGUGGAUGUAGGUCUUGGACCGAACCUUUUUAAAUUUUUGUGCAUUGUCUACUCUAUUUUUAUUUUCAUUGCUUUUUAAAUUAGUUCCUCAUCUUGCCAAGAGCCAAAAAAUGUUAUUCACCCCCCCUCUAGCACAUUUACUUGGGACCAACAGAAAGGAGUAUAGGCAUGUACAUGAUGUGAAGUUAUGCAUAGGCAUAAUGAGAAUUCGUAUGGAUUAUGUAAAAGGUAACUUGUGGUAAGACGCAAGUGGAAUGGUGAUUCAAACAUAUAAAAAGGGUAAUCUAAAAUUGAUUAUACCCCAUUGUUUAUAGAUUAAAUAUGAGAAUUAUUAUAUUAAAUUUUGGUUAUGGAUGGGAAACAAAUAAAGGGAAACUUAGUCCGAAGGCACUUGAACACAAAGAUCCUUACACGUAAUGAGGAAUGUUGACAUUUAGAAGUGCGUGUACAUACGUAUGUGUGGAAUUGAUAACAUGACCAACUAAAAUGAAGAACUGUUUUUAGAGAUUCGAGAUUUGAACUCAAUAUAUUUGAUGAGUUGUAUGGAUAAUACAAUGAUAAAAAAUUCCAUCAGAAGUGGAGCUAUAUUGAUAUAAGAAAUUUUAGAGGAAUAUCCAAGGAAAUGACAUCAAGGAAAUGUAAUCUAUAGCGUGAUUAAGCCAUACAAGAUGGACUAAUUUGAUUAAAAAGAUUUAAGUUGCAUAAAUACGGUAAAAACAUGAAGUAUGAGGGAAUGGUUGAAAGAUUCAACUCCCCAGCAUGUUGGAAAUAGGUAUAGGAAUGAAUAGGGCAUGUUUAUGAUGCCAUAAGUUGUGUAAUAGUGUAUGAGGAUAAGGUGAAUGAGUGUCGAGAACUUUAACAAGGAAUGGAGUAAUAAGAUGGUGAUUAGGUAUACAUAAGUAAGUAUAAUAUGUGAUUGAAAUCAGUAUGAUUGAGACGGAGUUAUGGUUCAAUUCUAGUGAUGGUGAUAAAGGCAUACUUGACGUUUUAAUAUAAGAGAUAAUGUUUGUUAAGGUUAUUGUCGAAUUGAUUCUAAAAGAUGAUAAUAGACAUAAAUAAAGUAUUCUAGUCGAACUGGAGGUAAAUGAGGUGAAUAAAUCAAGAUUCCCUAUAAAAGAAAGGAUGGAAUAAGAUCAUAGAAUGAGAUUAAUAACCCGACCCCAACGCGAAUUCGAGAACAAAUUCUAUUUAAGUAAGGGAGACUGUAAUACCCCAUACUUUGAUAUGGUGGCUAAUAAAGCUUAUCGUAUGCCAAUUGAGGUUAAUUAUAAUGUUUAAAAGUAAUGAAAAAUGAAAGGAAUAGUUUGGGAUAAAUAUUCCGCAUCAAGAAAAUAAUAAUAAAAUAAUAAUAUUUUUAUCUAGGAAGAAUUUGAGAGAUAAAAAGUGAUUCAGAAGUGAAUUGAGGCAUAAUAAGGUAUUUUGGGUACCAAGCAGACAAGAGAAAAAUUUUAGAAUAAAAUAAUAUUAAAAUAUUAAUAUUUUAUUCAAUGUCGAAAUUUUCCAUGAAGGAGGAGUAUAUGGUCAAUCUAAGUAGGGGAGAAGAAGAACAAGAAAAUUUUGGAGAAAAAUGACGUUAAUAGGGCCCGCGUGUUUUUAUUAAAUAAAGCUAGCAACGGUAAGUAAAUAUUUAAAUAUUUCAGUGAUACCGCGUUGGAGCAUAAACUUGAUAUUUUAUUGGUACAAGUGUUAAGGAAGAAAAAUGGAAAGAAAUUGGAAUUAAAAGAUUGUGGGAGGAUACAAUUAAAAAUGGUGAAAAACUUAAAGGGUAAAAUGGUAAUUUUGCCAUUUGCUUGGUCAAAGCUUCCCAAGGAAGCUUUGACUCCUUGCUUUUUCAGCCAUGACCAUCCUUAUCCUCUCCCACAAGAUAUUUUCUUCUUCUUCCUCAUCCUUCCCAUGCCAUUAUCAUUCCACCUCCAUGAAAAUGAAAUUUUUCAUGUUAUUUUCCUUGUUUUCUUUUCAUUUCUUUUCUUUUCUUACUCCUUUCUUCUCCGAACUUAUUGGGCAUCAAACCUGUAGCUUCUAACCCCAAUUUCCAAUAUUUUUAAACCUUAGGAGAGAGAAAGAAAAAUCUCUUUUUCUUUCCUUUAUUUUCUAUUUCUACUCCACUUUCAACAAUACUUGGAUUUUGGGCUUCAAACCUUCAUUUUUAAGGCUAAAAGGUAUAUAUUUGCAACUUUUGAAAUUUUUGAAUUUAUAGUUAUAUUUUCAGAUUUUAUUUCCUAAUUUCUUCAAAUUAUUUUUCUUGGAAAUAUUAGUUUUUUUUUUUGUUGAUCUUCAUGCCUCCAAGCUCACCAAGGUAAAGAAUCUUUAAAUAUGGAAUAGUUGAUAUCAUGGGUUUGAGAAUUAGACUAGAAUUCUAGGAUAAAAAUUAGGCUAGGAUGUGAUUUAUCAAGUGCAUGCUUAUUAGAAUGAUUAAAUUCAAUUUUGUGAUAUAUUUGAAGCUUUUAAUGUUUAUUGGCAAAUCUAGGUUUUAAUGGUAUUUCGGGACUACCAAGAUUAAGGCUUUGUGGACGUUAGUCUUGUGAGUUGCCAUUAUUGAGGUAAGUGAACUUGCAUAAAAAUGUUUUGAGAUUAAAGCGUAUGUGUUUGAAUGAAUUUCAUGAAAUGUUUUAUUGGCCUUUUCUUUAAAAUAUGCAUGGGAACAAGCCCUUGAUGAAAUAUUUUUACGACUGUGAUGAAUCCAUGUGCUUAUAUAUUAUGUUAAUAUAUAUAUAUAUGUAAAUAUAUGAUUAUAUGAUAUGUAAUUAUAAGUUAUAUUUUGUGAUAAAUAUAACCGUGCAUGUGCGGUGUGGGAGGGUACAUGCCGAUAAUGACUAUGAUGAUUCCAGCUAUGUGCGGUGUGGGAGUGCACAUGAGCUGAUAUGUCACAAUCCGGUACUCUCCUCGAGCUCGUGACAACCGCCGCGAUGUUCCAAUAGACAUUCAUUAUCCAGAAUGCCAACCGAAACCCCGCAAGGCUUUAAUAACAGUUUUUGUACCUCCCCUAUGAGCAACAAUUGUUAAGUAUCAUGUUUUGAGAGAUUAUAAACUAUUUCCAAAUCAAAACAAUAGAAAAAUAAUUUUUCGCUCACAAGGGCAUUUUCGUCAUUUUUCCUCAAAAAUCUCGAAACCAGCUAAAAAUGUAGUAUACAAGUGGAAAACACAUGUUUCAUAAUCAAAAAUAAGUUUAGAUAUCUAAAAUAUUCAUUUAAAAUGAAAUUAUGACUAUUUGAAUAUAAUAAUAAUAUUUAAUAAAAUAUUCUAUUUUCUUAUAAAACAAUAUUUAUAGAGUUACCGGUAAAUAAUUUUUGUAGCAUAAAAGCUAAAUAAAUUCAUACAUACUGUAAUUCAGAUAACCAAAGUAUAAAAUUUAAUUUACAGUGACAGGUGAGCCCACGAACGACCAAAAGUAUUAAAAGCGGUAAACCUACAGUUUUUGAGGAUGCAAGUCCAACUGUAGCCCUCAACAAAGUGAGCUAUCUACCGACUAUCCUGAACCUGAAAUGGGUGGAAAGGAGGGUGGUGAGACUAUAUAAUCCUAGUGAGUAAACAAAUACCAUCUAAAAUAUCUAAAGCUGAGUAAAUGGAGAUAGAUUAAAAUAGAUUAUCAUACUGUAAUUCAUCACCUUUUAAACUCAUUUCAACCAAAUUAAAUCAGUUCAUAUAAAUCGAGUAUUCAACAUGGCUUAUGAAUUUCUUAAAACUUUGGCUCGUGCCAAAAUCAUUCUCAUACUCAGUUAUCAGGAAUACCUUGGUCGAGGGCUAUCCCAACCGAGUCCACCAAGGCUGUUAAAAAGUUAUGUACACAUAAAUCAUGUUUUUAUUUUGAAAACAUAGUCAUUCCUUGGCAUUGGCUGAGUUCACCCUCACGUGGUGGUUUGGUGUGAAGUGAACUCUAAAGUGUUAACCUCAGGAGCUAUCCAUCCGCGCCUCUCAUACUGAGGUAUGAAUAUAAUAGGGUUACCAUGCCCCCUCUAAUAGGCUGGUCCACGGAACCCGUCCACUGCAGCGAC
This 71679-nucleotide long non-coding RNA is filed under the name Theobroma cacao (cacao). Its description in RNAcentral is "long non-coding RNA (TCAC_LNC000401)". The record is from RNAcentral. Lineage: Eukaryota; Viridiplantae; Streptophyta; Magnoliopsida; Malvales; Malvaceae.